ACAAAGUAAUUUUUUUAGUAUAUAUCAUCACACAAUCAUAGUACAACCAGCACACACAAGCCAUCAUCCUCCGUACAAGCCAGAAAAGUAAAUAAGAACAAUCACAAGAUUUACAUGGGCAUCAUGCCCUAAUCUUGAUUGAUCUUGACAUUAUAUAGCAUGGGAUGACUUAAUGGUGGUGGGUUACAACACACCACUUAUUUAAUCCAACCGGCAAUAUAAGUAAUGACGAUACUAUGUCUGGCAUGGUUGAUGUACCCGAACAUCUCAUGCCAACAAUUACUCUUGGACGUUUGCUUCACCAUUUCCUUUUUCUGCUUGAGUCCCAAGUGGUGGUUUUGGUUGUGCAUUCGGGUCAGGCAGUGGUUGUGGAUUCGGGUCUGGUAAUGGUUGUGGGUUUGGAUCAGGUUGCGGUCCUGGUAAUGGCUGAGGGUUUGGGUUUGGCUGUGGGUCCGGCAAUGGCUUCGGGUUUGGGUCUGGUAAUGGUUGCGGGUUUGGAUGAGGUUGUGGUCCUGGUAAUGGCUGAGGGUUUGGGUUUGGCUGUGGGUUCGGCAAUGGUAUCGGGUUUGGGUCUGGUAAUGGUUCUGGGUUUGGAUCAGGCUGUGGUCCUGGUAAUGGCUGAGGGUUUGGGUUUGGUUGUGGGUCCGGCAAUGGUUUUGGGUUUGGGUCUGGUAAUGGUUGUGGAUUUCGAUCAGGCUGCGGUCUUGGUAAUGGUUGAGGGUUUGGUUUUGCUCGUGGGUCUGGUAGUGGCCGCGGCUUUGUGUUUGGCUGUGGGUUCAUCAACUGUUGCAGGUUUUGUCCUGGCAAUAGUUGUGGAUUUGGGUCAGGNNNNNNNNNNGUUGUGGGUUUGGAUCAGGUUGCGGCCCUGGUAGUGGCUUAGGGUUUGGGUUUGGCUGUGGGUCCGGCAAUGGUUUUGGGUUUGGGUCUGGUAAUGGUUGUGGAUUUCGAUCAGGCUGCGGUCUUGGUAAUGGUUGAGGGUUUGGUUUUGCUCGUGGGUCUGGUAGUGGCCGCGGCUUUGUGUUUGGCUGUGGGUUCAUCAACUGUUGCAGGUUUUGUCCUGGCAAUAGUUGUGGAUUUGGGUCAGGGUGUGGUCCUGGUAAUGGUUGAGCGUUUGGAUCAGGUUGUGGAUCUAGCAGUGGUUGUGGGUUUGUAUGAGGUUUAGGCUCGGGUAGCGGUUGCGGCUUUGGGUCUGGUUGUGGUCCCGGCAAUGGUUGAGGGUUUGGAUCUGGCUGUUUUCCUGGUAGUGGUUCUGGAUUUGGGUUCGCCCGUGGGCCGUACUGAGGGUCUCUAGUGAUCAGGUUGUGCCUCCCGGCAGCAAGAGCAAACACUGGAAGAAGCAUAAGCAGCAACGGUGCUACGAGAAGAGAAGACGCGGAUGGGCGCUUCCUCAUCGUCAUGGCUAAGCUUGUGUUGGUACGAACUUGCAAGUGCGUGCGUCUCGAUCUUCCUAUUUAUAAGCGAAUUCAGCCAUCAAGGCUGGACAAGCAUGUACGUUGUUUACUCCAACUCUGAUUGGGCUUGUUAGCUUUGCCUUUUUGAAGAUGCGGGACUGCACGCCUCCGCUUAGUGCUCUAACCAGCAGCUAGCCACAAUAAAAAGUCAUUUAGAAAAGUUUUGAGUUAUCAUCAUAAAGAAAAAGUUUGUGUAGUUUUCGUCUGGAUAGAUGUGACAUUUUUCAGUUGAUCGUAGGAGAGCAACAUGCAGAAGCAUACAGUUGCCCAAGUUGUGAACAACCUGAUCACUUUCAGUAAUUCUGUUGAAUUCAUAGCAGGGUAGCAGAUGGCUGUGAGCAUGGAAUUUGUAAAUCAUGUAAUUUUUUUUAAAAUAAGAAAAAUCAUGUAAACACGUAUACAUGUUAUUUGCGUGUCCAAGAAGUUUAAUUAAGCCAUACACAGAUUUGUAGGCUACAUAAAAAAAAUCCAGCCCAAAUGCAAUAGAAAUAAGCCUAUUUUAAAUUAUGUAUUUGUCGUUUUCCCCUUUGUGUAGACUAUAUAUGAUUUUUUUUCAAAUAUAUUUUGUUGAAAUUUUGUAUGAACACACUAUACCUUUUUUAUUGAAAAUUUUGAGGUGCAAGAAUAAAGUUCUUGAUAAAAAAUAAAGAAGCCUGUACGAUGUAUUGUUGUACACAGGAAUAUCGUGGAUUCUAAACUUGAGGUUUGCAUGGAUGGAUUUUUUUUACGGAAUCUAGUUUAAAUGAGUCCUAUUGUUUCCCGUAUGAAUUCCUAUUCUAUGACUCAAACAACACAUACAGAAAAAUUUUCUAAGGAUUAGAUUCCUCCAAAAUUCUAUUAAAAGUUUAAAACCCCUUUGAAUCAAAGAAGCCUAUUCCCCCCAAAAUAAAGAAAAGAAUCAAAUGAGCUCGGGUGAACAGUAAAAUCAAAACUAAAUCAAUUUUUUUUUAAAAAAAUCCAAUUUUUUUUGGGAGAAAAAGUUCUAAGUGCUUGCAAAAAUUCGCCAUGAAAUCACAUUUCUAGAAGGCGUGGCAAAAAAAAAAAACAAAAUCAGUACUCUGAAAAAGCUACUUUCAAAAGCAUUUUGGAGCACUGAAUUUGUUUUUUUUGCCACGCUUUACAGGAAUGUGAUUUCAUGAUGAAUUUUUGCAAGCACUUAAAACUUUUGUUAAUGUUUCUCCCAAAAAAAAUUGGGAAUUUUUUGAAUUUUUUUUGAAUUUUUUUCGAUUUUACUGUUCACCAAGCUCAAAUGAGCUCGGGAGCAGAAAGGCACUUUCGAUCAAAGAAGCCUAUUUCGCAGCAAAGCUAGUGGCUGUCCUAUCGGACAGUGAUGCACCUUUAAGUACGCGGUUUCUAAUAAUCACGAUCAGUGCACGCCGUGCACAGUGCACUCAUUUCGGUUGUAGAUGUAACUUUCACAUUUCAUACACCAAUCACGAUCAGUUGCUUGUUGGCACGGGCGGAGCUCCGUAGGGGCAGACCUGGGCCAUGGCCCGCCCAGGAAUUUGACAAAAAAAGUUUUUACUACUAGUCGUCUUAGCCCAGCCCACUAGCCCACGCACGCACUGAAUAUCCCCCCAUCGGCCAUCGUCUCCUCGUCUCGCGCACGCUGCACGCACAGGCACACUCACGCCUUCCCCAAUUCCCCAUCCUCUCAGUCCCAGACUCAUGUAGGUUGUAGCCACGCCGCCGACGACUACCGACGUGGACAGGGAACACGUCCACACGGUCCACCGGAGCGCGCCGCCCGCCAUCUCUCGGAGCAACCGCCAUGGCAACGCCCGCCGGGAUCUCGCCUCGCCCCUGCCCUGCUCCCUCCUGCCGCCCAUCAUCCGCACACUUACANNNNNNNNNNNNNNNNNNNNNNNNNNNNNNNNNNNNNNNNNNNNNNNNNNNNNNNNNNNNNNNNNNNNNNNNNNNNNNNNNNNNNNNNNNNNNNNNNNNNNNNNNNNNNNNNNNNNNNNNNNNNNNNNNNNNNGCAAUAACCUGAUUUUGUUCAUUUCCAUACACCCAGUGAUCAGUCCUGCUAGUGAUAAAUAAUAGUCUGAUGAUCUGAUCUUACGCAAAUUUUAACAUAGGUAGUCGGGAAAGGAAAAUAAGACUCAGAGAAGAAGAAGAUCACUGCACAAUAAGAUGGAAGAUGAGAAUCUGGCUAAUAACUUGUUAGUUCACAUAGAUGGUGGAAUUCUAGAAAACUACAGCCACGAAGAUGUCAUUGCAGAUUUUAUAAACAAGAAGAUCGGAGAGUUGAUUGUAUGUGAGUAGGUCCAUGUCUAAUGUCUCUGACACUUUUGUAUUAUCUAACUCAAUAGUGAAACAUGGUUGAACUGUACUUUGGUACAUAUAUAUAUUAUAUAUAUACAUAUCUGCUAGCUCAAUCUUGUGACCUGGGUGCUUGUAAUAUGUCCUUAUGGGUAAGAAUUUAGAAAAAAUUGUGUUCUUCUUCAGUCUGGCCCGCCCAACUUUUUCGUUCAAGCUCCGCCACUGCUUGUUGGUGCACAUCCAAUGCUCUAGAAUAAAACAAAAAGUACUCCUAUAUACAAAACGUACUUUACCUAACCUACCGAUUGAAUCGUAUACAUAGAUGAAAAAGAAAAGACAUCCGUAGAGUCCCAAGUUACCUACCGAUUGAAUCGUAUGUAUAGAUGAAAAAGAAAAGACAUCCAUAGAGUACCAAGUUACCUACCGAUUGAAUCAUACAUAUAGACGAAAAAGAAAAGACAUGCAUAGAGUACCAAGUUAAAGACGAUAUGACCUCACAACUAGAUUGGGUUGGGUGAGUGGAGUGCCACUUUAAUCCUUGUCUGGAGCACGCGCUAUGAUAUUUCUUCAGAGGCGCUGAAGUGGGGAACAAGACUGAUAGAACAAACAACAAGUGAGAUAUUUUGAGCUUCACUAGGUUGGAGGCCUGGUGUGCUCAGAAUUUAUCAGGGUGUAUUCAGGUUGCAGCACUGCUGCCAAGGCAUUUCUCCAGCUUCGCUCUGAAGAUCUUUUGCUUUGCUUUGUUCCUCUGUUUGUUUGUAAUGAAGUUCCCGUGUUUUGUGAUGGUUGCAAGUUCCCUGUAGUCUUUAUAUAUUUGGCUCAAGGGUGCCUGAAAAUUUCAUAGUUAUGUUUAAAAAAAUGCCGUAGUUGUUAGUUUUUGGACCAUCUAUCUAAAUCUAUCAAAGACCCUGUUGCCCGAGCUAGCCAAUCAAAGUUGGGCCAUUUGCAUCAAGCUAGGUAGGAUGCGUCGCCGGAAAACCCAAAUCGCUAAUUAAGGAGUACUCUUUGCAAAGGUCACUCCUACCAUGUCGCAACUAGUGAGUUUUCCUUUUUUUGUCGAUUCGUUUAUUCAACACGUUUUAUCGGUUAAAACAUGCAUUCACAUCUUGAAUCGUUUUCUCCAUUGUAUUCCUCGCACUGAGAUCUUGAAAAUUAGAUCCGAUCUGAUAGGUUUUGAUGAACGUUUUACUUUACGAAAAAUACCGAACAAAAAACAAACCGGGAGCACAUUUUUUCCUUUCUGAAAAGGGCACAAUCGUGCCUCUCGUGUCGUUACAAAUCUUAUCUCUGUUCGUCGUUACAAAUCCUAUGAAUUGCUAUUCUAUCUUCACAACAUCCUAUACUCCCCUUGUGUCGUUACAAAUCUUAUCUCUGUUCGUCGUUUUUGCAUUGACAAUUCAGUAACAAUUGAGUUUUACCCCCUUGACUUUGUUGUGAAGGAUCUAGCCACUCGGACUCCUUAUGAGCCGCAGUAGCUACGGCCAGCUUUACUCCUUCUCCGGCGGCACCACCAACCACCAGGCGGUGCUCUCUAUGGACGUUGGAAACUUGUGGCAUCAGCGAUUAGGGCACCCCAGUGCUGCCUCCCUUUCCCGUUUGGCGAGCAGUUUUUAACCAAAUUGUAAUAAGCCAGUCCACCCCAUGGUACUUGUCAUGCAUGUCAAUUAGGCCACCAUGCUCUCCUUCCUUUUUCCAGAUUCUCUGUCAUUUACUACUUUUCCUUUUCAACUAGUGCACUAUGAUAUAUGAACCUCAACAAUUGCGAGUUUUUCCGGCUUCAAAUAUUAUUUGUUUGUCAUAGACGACUUCACUCACUUCCCUUGGAGCUUCCCGCUACACCAUAAGCCCCAUGCCGCUGCCACCCUUGAACGCUUUUACCAGUACGUGCUCAUACAAUUCCGUGUUUACAUACAGUGUGUCCAAUGUGAUAAUGGGGGCGACUUCCUCAACGUUCACCUAUGCACUUUCUGUUGGGGAACGUUGCAGAAAACAAAAAUUUUCCUACGGUUUCACCAAGAUCCAUCUAGGACUUCAUCUAGCAACGAGUAAUCGGAUUGCAUCUACGUACCUUGUAGAUCGCGAGUGGAAGCGUUCAAAGAACGGGGAUGAGGGAGUCGUACUCGACGUGAUCCAAAUCACCGGAGAUCCUAGCGCCGAACGGACGACACCUCCGCGUUCAACACACGUACGGUCAGCGUAACGUCUCCUUCCUCUUGAUCCAGCAAGGGGCAAGGAGAGGUUGAGGAAGAUGGCUCCAGCAGCAGCACGACGGCGUGGUGGUGAUGGAGCUGCAGUACUCCGGCAGGGCUUCGCCAAGCUCUAUGGAGGAGGAGGAUGUGUUGGAGAGGGAGAGGGAGGCACCAAAGGCAAAGGUAAGAGGUCCUCCAUCCUCCCCACUAUAUAUAGGGGGGCCUAGGGGGGGACGCCGGCCCUAGGAGAUGCAAUCUCCUAGGGGGGCGGCGGCCAAGGGGUGGGGGACUUGCCCCCCAAGCAAGGGGGCGUCCCCCCCCUUUAGGGUUUCCCCCACCCUAGGCGCAUGGGCCCUAGGGGAAGUGGCGCCCCAGCCCACUUUGGGCUGGAUCCCUUCCCACUUCAGCCCAUGGGGCCCUCCGGGAUAGGUGGCCCCACCCGGUGGACCCCCGGGACCCUUCCGGUGGUCCCGGUACAAUACCGGUGACCCCGAAACUUGUCCCGAUAGCCGAAAUAGCACUUCCUAUAUAUAAUUAUUUACCUCCGGACCAUUCCGGAACUCCUCGUGAUGUCCGGGAUCUCAUCCGGGACCCCGAACAACAUCCGGGUUACUGCAUAUACAUAUCCCUAUAACCCUAGCGUCACCGAACCUUAAGUGUGUAGACCCUACGGGUUCGGGAGACAUGUAGACAUGACCGAGAUCGCUCUCCGGUCAAUAAACAAUAGCGGGAUCUGGAUACCCAUGUUGGCUCCCACAUGCUCCUCGAUGAUCUCAUCGGAUGAACCACGAUGUCGAGGAUUCAAGCAACCCCGUAUACAAUUCCCUUCGUCAGUCGGUAUGUUACUUGCCCGAGAUUCGGUCGUCGGUAUCCCAAUACCUCGUUCAAUCUCGUUACCGGCAAGUCACUUUACUCUUACCGUAAUGCAUGAUCCCGUGACCAGACACUUGGUCACUUUGAGCUCAUUAUGAUGAUGCAUUACCGAGUGGGCCCAGUGAUACCUCUUCGUCAUACGGAGUGACAAAUUCCAGUCUUGAUCCGUGUCAACCCAACAGACACUUUCGGAGAUACCCGUAGUAUACCUUUAUAGUCACCCAGUUACUUGUGACGUUUGGUACACCCAAAGCACUCCUACGGUAUCCGGGAGUUACACGAUCUCAUGGUCUAAGGAAAAGAUACUUGACAUUGGAAAACUCUAGCAAAUGAACUAUACGAUCUUGUGCUAUGUUUAGGAUUGGGUCUUGUCCAUCACAUCAUUCUCCUAAUGAUAUGAUCUCGUUAUCAAUGACAUUCAAUGUCCAUAGUCAGGAAACCAUGACUAUCUUUGAUCAACGAGCUAGUCAACUAGAGGCUUACUAGGGACAUGUUGGUGUCUAAGUAUUCACACAUGUAUUACAAUUUCCGGAUAACACAAUUAUAGCAUGAAUAAAAGACAAUUAUCAUGAACAAGGAAAUAUAAUAAUAAUGCUUUUAUUAUUGCCUCUAGGGCAUAUUUCCAACAGUCUCCCACUUGCACUAGAGUCAAUAAUCUAGUUACAUUGUGAUGAAUCGAACACCCAUGGAAUUCUGGUGUUGAUCAUGUUUUGCUCUAGGGAGAGGUUUAGUCAACGGAUCUGCUACAUUCAGGUCCAUAUGUACUUUACAAAUAUCUAUGUCUCCAUCUUGAACAUUUUCACGAAUGGAGUUGAAGCGACGCUUGAUGUGCCUCGUCUUCUUGUGAAAUCUGGGCUCCUUGGCAAGUGCAAUAGCUCCAUGUUGUCACAGAAGAGCUUCAUAGGCCCCGAUGCAUUGGGUAUGACUCCUAGGUCGGUGAUGAACUCCUUCACCCAAAUUGCUUCAUGCGCUGCCUCCGAGGCUGCCAUGUACUCCGCUUCACAUGUAGAUCCCGCCACGACGCUCUUCUUGCAACUGCACCAGCUUACUGCCCUACCAUUCAAAAUAUACACGUAUCCGGUUUGUGACUUAGAGUCAUCCAGAUCUGUGUCGAAGCUAGCAUCGACGUAACCAUUUACGACGAGCUCUUCGUCACCUCCAUAGACGAGAAACAUUUCCUUAGUCCUUUUCAGGUACUUCAGGAUAUUCUUGACCGCUGUCCAGUGUUCCUUGCCGGGAUUACUUUGGUACCUACCUACCAAACUUACGGCUAGGUUUACAUCAGGUCUGGUACACAGCAUGGCAUACAUAAUAGAACCUAUGGCUGAGGCAUAGGGGAUGAUACUCAUCUCUUCUAUAUCUUCUGCCGUGGUCGGACAUUGAGCUGAGCUCAAUUUCAUACCUUGCAACACAGGCAAGAACCCCUUCUUAGACUGAUCCAUAUUGAAUUUCUUCAAUAUCUUAUCAAGGUAUGUGCUUUGUGAAAGACCUAUGAGGCGUCUUGAUCUAUCUCUGUAGAUCUUGAUGCCUAAUAUAUAAGCAGCUUCUCCAAGGUCCUUCAUUGAAAAACUCUUAUUCAAGUAGGCCUUAAUGCUGUCCAAAAGUUCUAUAUCAUUUCCCAUCAAAAGUAUGUCAUCUACAUAUAAUAUGAGAAAUGCUACAGAGCUCCCACUCACUUUCUUGUAAACACAGGCUUCUCCAUAAGUCUGCGUAAACCCAAACGCUUUGAUCAUCUCAUCAAAGCGAAUGUUCCAACUCCGAGAUGCUUGCACCAGCCCAUAAAUCGAGCGUUGGAGCUUGCACACCUUGUCAGCAUACUUAGGAUCGACAAAACCUUACGGCUGCAUCAUAUACCAUUCUUCCUUAAGGAAACCAUUAGGAAUGCCGUUUUGACGUCCAUUUGCCAUAUUUCAUAAUCAUAGAAUGCGGCAAUUGCUAACAUGAUUCGGACGGACUUCAGCUUCGCUACCGGUGAGAAAGUCUCAUCGUAGUCAACCCCUUGAACUUGUCGAUAACCCUUAGCGACAAGCCGAGCUUUAUAGAUGGUCACACUACCAUCCGCGUCUGUCUUCUUCUUAAAGAUCCAUUUAUUUUCUAUGGCUUGCCGCUCUACGGCCAAGUCAGUCAAAGUCCAUACUUCGUUUUCAUACAUGGAUCCUAUCUCGGAUUUCAUGGCUUCCAGCCAUUUGUCAGAAUCCGGGCCCGCCAUCGCUUCUUCAUAGUUUGAAGGUUCACCGUUGUCUAACAACAUGAUUUCCAAGACAGGGUUGCCGUACCAAUCUGGUGCGGAACGUGUCCUUGUGGACCUUCGAAUUUCAGUAGGAGCUUGAUCAGAAGUAUCUUGAUCAUCAUCAUUAACUUCCUCUCUAGUCGGUGCAGGCACCUCAGGAACAUUUUCUUGAGUUGCGCCAUUUUCCGGUUCAAGAGGUAAUACUUCAUCAAGUUCUACUUUCCUCCCAUUUACUUCUUUCGAGAGAAACUCCUUCUCUAGAAAGGAUCCAUUCUUGGCAACAAAGAUCUUGCCUUCGGAUCUGAGGUAGAAGGUAUACCCAAUAGUUUCUUUAGGGUAUCCUAUGAAGACGCAUUUUUCCGACUUGGGUUCGAGCUUUUCAGGUUGAAGUUUCUUGACAUAAGCAUCGCAUACCCAAACUUUUAGAAACGAUAGCUUAGCUUUCUUCCCAAACCAUAAUUCAUACGGUGUCGUCUCAACGGAUUUCGACGGAGCCCUAUUUAAAGUGAAUGCGGGAGUCUCUAAAGCAUAGCCCCAAAAAGAUAGCGGUAAAUCGGUAAGAGACAUCAUAGAUCACACCAUAUCUAAUAGAGUGCGAUUACGACGUUCGGACACACCAUUACGCUGAGGUGUUCCAAGCGGCGUGAGUUGUGAAACUAUUCCAUAUUUUCUUAAGUGUGUGCCAAACUCGUGACUCAAGUAUUCUCCUUCACGAUCUGAUCGCAGGAACUUGAUUUUCCUGUCACGUUGAUUCUCAACCUCACUCUGAAAUUCCUUGAACUUUUCAAAGGUCUCAGACUUGUGUUUCAUUAAGUAGACAUACCCAUAUAUACUCAAGUCAUCAGUGAGGGUGAGAACAUAACGCCACCGUGAGCCUCAACAGUCAUUGGACCGCACACAUCAGUAUGUAUGAUUUCCAAUAAGUUGGUUUCUCGCUCCAUUGUUCCUGAGAACGGAGUCUUGGUCAUUUUACCCAUGAGGCAUGAUUCGCACAUGUCAAAUGAUUCGUAAUCAAGAGACUCUAAAAGUCCAUCAGCAUGGAGCUUCUUCAUGCGUUUGACACCUAUGUGACCAAGGCGGCAGUGCCACAAGUAUGUGGGACUAUCAUUAUCAAUCUUACAUCUUUUGGUACUCACACUAUGAACAUGUGUAGCAUUACGCUCGAGAUUCAUUAAGAAUAAACCAUUCACCAUCGGAGCAUGACCAUAAAACAUAUCUCUCAUAUAAAUAGAACAACCAUUAUUCUCGGAUUUAAAUGAGUAGCCAUCUCGAAUUAAACGAGAUCCUGAUACAAUGUUCAUGCUCAAAGCUAGCACUAAAUAACAAUUAUUAAGGUUUAAAACUAAUCCCGAAGGUAAAUGUAGAGGUAGCGUGCCGACGGCGAUCACAUUGACCUUGGAACCAUUCCCGACGCGCAUCGUCACCUCGUCCUUCGCCAGUCUCCGCUUAUUCCGCAGCUCCUGUUUUGAGUUACAAAUGUGAGCAACCGCACCGGUAUCAAAUACCCAGGAGCUACUACGAGUACUGGUAAGGUACACAUCAAUUACAUGUAUAUCACAUAUACCUUUCGUGAUGCCGGCCUUCUUGUCCGCUAAGUAUUUGGGGCAGUUUCGCUUCCAGUGACCACUUCCCUUGCAAUAAAAGCACUUAGUCUCGGGCUUGGGUCCAUUCUUUGGCUUCUUCCCGGCAGCUUGCUUGCCGGGCGCGGCAACUCCCUUGUCGUCCUUCUUGAAGGCUUUCUUACCCUUGCCCUUCUUGAACUUAGUGGUUUUAUUCACCAUCAACACUUGAUGUUCCUUUUUGACUUCUACCUCAGCUGAUUUCAGCAUUGCAAAUACGUCAGGAAUGGUCUUUUCCAUCCCCUGCAUAUUGAAGUUUAUCACAAAGCUCUUGUAGCUCGGUGGAAGCGACUGAAGGAUUCUGUCAAUGACCGUGUCAUCCGGGAGAUUAACUCCCAGCUGAGUCAAGCGGUUAUGCAACCCAGACAUAAUGAGUAUGUGCUCACUGACAGAACUGUUUUCCUCCAUCUUACAGCUGAAGAACUUGUCGGAGACUUGAUAUCUCUCGACCCGGGCAUGAGCUUGGAAAACCAUUUUCAGCUCUUCGAACAUCUCAUAUGCUCCGUGUCUCUCAAAACGCUUUUGGAGCCCCGGCUCUAAGCUGUAAAGCAUGCCGGACUGAACGAGGGAGUAGUCAUCGGUACGUGCCUGCCAAGCGUUCAUAACGUCUUGUUCUGCAGGGAGAACAGGUGUGUCACCUGGCGGUGCUUGUAGGACAUAAUCUUUCUUGGCAGCUAUGAGGAUGAUCCUCAGGUUUCGGACCCAGUCCGUGUAGUUGCUGCCAUCGUCUUUCAGCUUGGUUUUCUCUAGGAACGCGUUGAAGUUGAGGACUACGUUGGCCAUUUGAUCUACAAGACAUAUUGUAAAUUUUUUAGACUAAGUUCAUGAUAAUUAAGUUCAUCUAAUCAAAUUAUUCAAUGAACUCCCACUUAGAUAGACAUCCCUCCAGUAAUCUAAGUAUAACAUGAUCCGAGUUAACUAGGACGUGUCCGAUCAUCACGUAAGACGGACUAGUCAACAUCGGUGAACAUCUUCAUGUUGAUCGUAUCUUCUAUAUGACUCAUGCUCGACCUUUCGGUCUUCUGUGUUCCGAGGCCAUGUCUGUACAUGCUAGGCUCGUCAAGUCAACCUAAGUGUUUGCAUGUGUAAAUCUGUCUUACACCCGUUGUAUGUGAACGUUGGAAUGAAUCUAACACCCGAUCAUCACGUGGUGCUUCGAAACAACGAACUGUCGCAAUGGUGCACAGUUAGGAGAAACACUUUCUUGAAAUUAUUAUGAGGGAUCAUCUUAUUUACUAUCGUUGUUCUAAGUAAACAAGAUGCAGAAACAUGAUAAACAUCACAUGCAAUCAAAUAGUGACAUGAUAUGGCCAAUAUCACAUAGCUCCUUUGAUCUCCAUCUUGGGGCUCCAUGAUCAUCUUGUCACCAGCAUGACACCAUGAUCUCCAUCAUCAUGAUCUCCAUCACAGUGUCUCCAUGAAGUUGCUCGCCAACUAUUACUUCUACUACUAUGGCUAACACGUUUAGCAAUAAAGUAAAGUAAUUUACAUGGCGUUUCUCAAUGAAACGCAGGUCAUACAAAAAAUAAAGACAACUCCUAUGGCUCCUGCCGGUUGUCAUACUCAUCGACAUGCAAGUCGUGAUUCCUAUUACAAUAGCAUGAGCAUCUCAUACAUCACAUGUAUAUCAUUCAUCAUUCAUCACAACUUUGGCCAUAUCACAUCACAGAACACUUGCUGCAAAAACAAGUUAGACGUCCUCUAAUUGUUGUUGCAAGUUUUACGUGGCUGCAAUAGGGUUCUAGCAAGAACGUUUUCUUACCUACGUGAAAGCCACAACAUGAUUUGUCAACUUCUAUUUACCCUUCAUAAGGACCCUUUUCAUCGAAUCCGCUCCAACUAAAGUGGGAGAGACAGACACCCGCCAGCCACCUUAUGCAACUUGUGCAUGUUAGUCGGUGGAACCGGUCUCACGUAAGCGUACGUGUAAGGUUGGUCCGGGCCGCUUCAUCCCACAAUACCGUUGAAGCAAGAUAAGACUAGUAGCGGCAAGAAAGUUGACAACAUCUACGCCCACAACAAAUUGUGUUCUACUCGUGCAAAGAGAACUACGCAUAGACCUAGCUCAUGAUGCCACUGUUGGGGAACGUUGCAGAAAACAAAAUUUUUCCUACGGUUUCACCAAGAUCCAUCUAGGAGUUCAUCUAGCAACGAGUGAUCGGAUUGCAUCUACGUACAUUGUAGAUCGCGAGCGGAAGCGUUCAAAGAACGGGGAUGAGGGAGUCGUACUCGACGUGAUCCAAAUCACCGGAGAUCCUAGCGCCGAACGGACGGCACCUCCGCGUUCAACAGACGUACGGUCAGCGUAACGUCUCCUUCCUCUUGAUCCAGCAAGGGGCAAGGAGAGGUUGAGGAAGAUGGCUCCAGCAGCAGCACGAUGGCGUGGUGGUGAUGGAGCUGCAGUACUCCGGCAGGGCUUCGCCAAGCUCUAUGGAGGAGGAUGUGUUGGAGAGGGAGAGGGAGGCACCAAAGGCAAAGGUAAGAGGUCCUCCAUCCUCCCCACUAUAUAUAGGGGGGCCUGGGGGGGGGGGCGCCGGCCCUAGGAGAUGCAAUCUCCUAGGGGGGCGGCGGCCAAGGGGUGGGGGACUUGCCCCCAAGCAAGGGGGCGCCCCCCCCUUUAGGGUUUCCCCCACCCUAGGCGCAUGGGCCCUAAGGGAAGUGGCGCCCCAGCCCACUUUGGGCUGGAUCCCUUCCCACUUCAGCCCAUGGGGCNNNNNNNNNNNNNNNNNNNNNNNNNNNNNNNNNNNNNNNNNNNNNNNNNNNNNNNNNNNNNNNNNNNNNNNNNNNNNNNNNNNNNNNNNNNNNNNNNNNNNNNNNNNNNNNNNNNNNNNNNNNNNNNNNNNNNNNNNNNNNNNNNNNNNNNNNNNNNNNNNNNNNNNNNNNNNNNNNNNNNNNNNNNNNNNNNNNNNNNNNNNNNNNNNNNNNNNNNNNNNNNNNNNNNNNNNNNNNNNNNNNNNNNNNNNNNNNNNNNNNNNNNNNNNNNNNNNNNNNNNNNNNNNNNNNNNNNNNNNNNNNNNNNNNNNNNNNNNNNNNNNNNNNNNNNNNNNNNNNNNNNNNNNNNNNNNNNNNNNNNNNNNNNNNNNNNNNNNNNNNNNNNNNNNNNNNNNNNNNNNNNNNNNNNNNNNNNNNNNNNNNNNNNNNNNNNNNNNNNNNNNNNNNNNNNNGGAAGAUGGCUCCAGCAGCAGCACGAUGGCGUGGUGGUGAUGGAGCUGCAGUACUCCGGCAGGGCUUCGCCAAGCUCUAUGGAGGAGGAUGUGUUGGAGAGGGAGAGGGAGGCACCAAAGGCAAAGGUAAGAGGUCCUCCAUCCUCCCCACUAUAUAUAGGGGGGCCUAGGGGGGGGGGCGCCGGCCCUAGGAGAUGCAAUCUCCUAGGGGGGCGGCGGCCAAGGGGUGGGGGACUUGCCCCCAAGCAAGGGGGCGCCCCCCCCUUUAGGGUUUCCCCCACCCUAGGCGCAUGGGCCCUAAGGGAAGUGGCGCCCCAGCCCACUUUGGGCUGGAUCCCUUCCCACUUCAGCCCAUGGGGCCCUCCGGGAUAGGUGGCCCCACCCGGUGGACCCCCGGGACCCUUCCGGUGGUCCCGGUACAAUACCGGUGACCCCGAAACUUGUCCCGAUAGCCGAAAUAGCACUUCCUAUAUAUAAUUCUUUACCUCCGGACCAUUCUGGAACUCCUCGUGAUGUCCGGGAUCUCAUCCGGGACCCCGAACAACAUUCGGGUUACUGCAUAUACAUAUCCCUAUAACCCUAGCGUCACCGAACCUUAAGUGUGUAGACCCUACAGGUUCGGGAGACAUGUAGACAUGACCGAGAUCGCUCUCCGGUCAAUAACCAACAGCGGGAUCUGGAUACCCAUGUUGGCUCCCACAUGCUCCUCGAUGAUCUCAUCGGAUGAACCACGAUGUCGAGGAUUCAAGCAACCCCGUAUACAAUUCCCUUCGUCAGUCGGUAUGUUACUUGCCCGAGAUUCGAUCGUCGGUAUCCCAAUACCUCGUUCAAUCUCGUUACCGGCAAAUCACUUUACUCUUACCGUAAUGCAUGAUCCCGUGACCAGACACUUGGUCACUUUGAGCUCAUUAUGAUGAUGCAUUACCGAGUGGGCCCAGUGAUACCUCUCCGUAAUACGGAGUGACAAAUCCCAGUCUUGAUCCGUGUCAACCCAACAGACACUUUCAGAGAUACCCGUAGUAUACCUUUAUAGUCACCCAGUUACGUUGUGACGUUUGGUACACCCAAAGCACUCCUACGGUAUCCGGGAGUUACACGAUCUCAUGGUCUAAAGGAAAAGAUACUUGACAUUGGAAAACUCUAGCAAACGAACUAUACGAUCUUGUGCUAUGUUUAGGAUUGGGUCUUGUCCAUCACAUCAUUCUCCUAAUGAUGUGAUCUCGUUAUCAAUGACAUCCAAUGUCCAUAGUCAGGAAACCAUGACUAUCUGUUGAUCAACGAGCUAGUCAACUAGAGGCUUACCGGGGACAUGUUGGUGUCUAAGUAUUCACACAUGUAUUAUGAUUUCCGGAUAACACAAUUAUAGCAUGAAUAAAAGACAAUUAUCAUGAACAAGGAAAUAUAAUAAUAAUGCUUUUAUUAUUGCCUCUAGGGCAUAUUUCCAACACUUUCCUCUACGAGGCAUCACCCUUUGUCACUCUUGCCCGCACACCUCCCCUCAAAACGAGAAGGCCGAGCACGGCAUUCGCUCCAUGAACGACAUUAUGCGCACACUCCUCCAAGCUCACAUGCCACCUUCGUUUUGGGUCGACGCCCUCAACACCACCACAUACUUACUGAAUUUCGCCCAUCCCGAGCCAUCGACCACAUCCCACCCUACUACGCCCUCUUUGGUACCUCUCCAGAUUACAGCUCCCUACGCACGUUCGUCUGCCUCUGCUACCAAAACCUCUAUGCCACUAUGCCCUACAAAUUAGCUCCCCGCUCCGUUCGCUGCAUUCUCCUCGGUAUGCCACUUGAGCAUAAAGGCUACAGGUGCCUGGACCUCUCCAAUCGAUGACUCAUUACCUCUAGACAUGUCAUUUUUUGACGAAAACACCUUCCCAUUCAUUGAUGCCCCGAGCGGCCACACGCCUGCACGAGCAGGGUCUGCUCCGGCCGCAGAAAAUCAAGCACCCACCUCCAUCCCCCUCGGAUCACCCACUCCACCAGUCACGCACCACCUCCCAUCCCCAAGCAUGCAGCCCGACCCCACCUCCCAAACCCAUGCAGUGAUUCACCCAUCACCUGCAUGCGGCGCGCCUCCCCUCGUGUCGACUCCACGCCUAGAUGCAGUAGCCCGCCACUUACGCCUCUGCAUGCAGCGCCCCUCACUCUAUGCCGCCCACGCAUGUAGUACGAUCCCACCCUGAGUCGUGCCGAUUUUACCUGCCAAAAACUUGCAUGCCAGGCGCACCUGCGCAAAGUCCAGUUUUCUGCAGCCAAAGAAGCUUCUGACCGUCGCUACCUCUCCCGCCCCCAUCUCUCCUAUUCCCGCAAACUACAAAGAAGCUCUCAAAGACCCCAACUGGUACAAUGUUAUGCUUGAAGAAUUUAACGCUUUGUUGCAAAGCAAAACGUGGUCUUUGGUUGCUUGCUCUGCAGGUGUCAACUUGGUGUCUGGGAAGUGGAUAUUCCGCCACAAGCUUCAUCUCGACGGCUCCCUCGCUCGGUACAAGGCGUGUUGGGUACUUCGUGGCUUCACAAAGCAGCCUGGCAUUGACUACGGGGAGACCUUCAGCCCCGUGUGGUGAAACCGGCCACCAUCCGCGUCAUCCUCAGUGUCGCCAUCAGUAACCGUUGGGCCAUUAACCAGCUGGACAUGAAGAACCCCUUCCUCCACGGCACUCUCGAUGAGCUCGUCUACAGUCAGCCGCCGGCUAGCUUCGUCGACACCGCACACCCCUCGACCAUGUGCAAACUCCAAAAGUCCUUGUAUGACUUAAGCAGGCUCCUCGUGCGUGGUUCCAGCGGUUCACCACAUUCCUUCUCUCGCUCGGCUUCACGGUGUCAAGAUCCGACACAUCCCUAUUUAUUCUCCGCCGUGGCACCUCAGUGGCAUACCUCUUGCUAUAUGUUGACGAUAUCAUUCUCACCGCUAGCUCCUCCGGGUUACUCACCAUCGUUACCGCCGCUCUCACCUCUGAGUUCUCCAUGGCGAACCUCAGCUCGCUCCACCACUUCCUUGGCGUCAAUGUUCAGUGCAGCCCCACUGGUUUGUUUCUUUCCGAGCAACAGUAUGCGCUCGAGAUCCUUGAUCGCGCCUCCAUGCUCAACUGCAAACCCAUCACUACCCCCGUCGACACCAAAGCAAAGCUCGCCACCUCGCCACCUCAGCUAACGACUCUGCUCCUGACCCAUCCCUCUUCCAUAGUCUCGCCGGUGCCCUGCAGUACCUCACGCUCAUGCGCCCGGACAUAGCCUACACCGUCCAGCAGGUGUGCCUCGUCAUGCACUCGCCGCGCAUGCUACACGCCGCCCUCCUCAAAUGUAUCAUGCGUUAUCUGCGUGGUACCACCCACCUUGGCCUUCAUAUUCGUCUGUCUGCUUCAUCCCAGCUCAUGUCUUACACAGACGCCGACUGGGCCGGUUGUCCCGACACCGUACCUGACGCUCGAUGUCUGGCUACUACAUGUACAUCGGUGACAACCUCGUCUCCUGGUCUUCGAAGCGACAAACCACCUUGUCGCGAUCGAGUGCGGAGGCAGAGUACCGAGCUGUCGCCAACGCGGUCACGGAGUCGUGUUGGCUACGAAGCUUCUUCAGGAUAUCGGAUGGCCUCCAUGGUGCUACCACUGUUUACUGAGACAACGUAUCGGUGACUGAAGGAAAUAUGCCCUAGAGGCAAUAAUAAAGUUAUUAUUUAUUUCCUUAUAUCAUGAUAAAUGUUUAUUAUUCAUUCUAGAAUUGUAUUAACGGAAACAUAAUACAUGUGUGAAUACAUAGACAAACAGAGUGUCACUAGUAUGCCUCUACUUGACUAGCUCGUUGAUCAAAGAUGGUUAUGUUUCCUAACCAUAGACAUGAGUUGUCAUUUGAUUAACGGGAUCACAUCAUUAGGAGAAUGAUGUGAUUGACUUGACCCAUUCCGUUAGCAUAGCACUUGAUCGUUUAGUUUGUUGUUAUUGCUUUCUUCAUGACUUAUACAUGUUCCUAUGAUUAUGAGAUUAUGCAACUCCCGUUUACCAGAGGAACACUUUGUGUGCUACCAAACGUCACAACGUAACUGGGUGAUUAUAAAGGUGCUCUACAGGUGUCUCCGAAGGUACUUGUUGGGUUGGCGUAUUUCGAGAUUAGGAUUUGUCACUCCGAUUGUCGGAGAGGUAUCUCUAGGCCCUAUCGGUAAUGCACAUCACUUAAGCCUUGCAAGCAUUGCAACUAAUGAGUUAGUUGCGGGAUGAUGUUUUACGGAACGAGUAAAGAGACUUGCCGGUAACGAGAUUGAACUAGGUAUUGAGAUACCGACGAUCGAAUCUCGGACAAGUAACAUACCGAUGACAAAGGAAAUAACGUAUGUUGUUAUGCGGUCUGACCGAUAAAGAUCUUCGUAGAAUAUGUGGGAGCCAAUAUGAGCAUCCAGGUUCCGCUAUUGGUUAUUGACCGGAGACAUGUCUCGGUCAUGUCUACAUAGUUCUCGAACCUGUAGGGUCCGCACGCUUAAAGUUUCGGUGACGAUUGUAUUAUGAGUUUAUGUGAUUUGAUGUACCGAAGGUAGUUUGGAGUCCCGGAUGAGAUCGGGGACAUGACGAGGAGUCUCAAAAUGGUCGAGACGUAAAGAUCGAUAUAUUGGACGACUAUAUUCGGACAUCGGAAAGGUUCCGAGUGAUUCGGGUAUUUUCGGGAGUACCGGGAGUUACGGGAAUACGAGGAAGAAGUAAUGGGCCUCAUGGACCAAGUGGUGGAAGAGAGGAGGCAGGGCGCGCGGCCCUCCUAGCCCAAACCGAAUUGGACUAGGGGGCCGGCCCCCCUUUCCUCCUUUUCCUCCUUCUCCUUCCUUCUCCUUCUCCUCCUUCCUUUCCUCCUCCUAGUAGGAGUAGGAAAGGGGAGUCCUACUCCUACUAGGAGGAGGACUCCUCCUCCUGGCGCGCCCAUAGAGGGCCGGUCGGCCUCCCCCCUUGCUCCUUUAUAUACAGGGGCAGGGGGGCACCUCUAGACACACAAGUUGAUCUUCGUGAUCGUUCCUUAGCCGUGUGUGGUGCCCCCUUCCACCAUAUUCCACCUCGGUCAUAUCGUAGCGGUGCUUAGGCGAAGCCCUGCGUCAGUAGAACAUCAUCACCGUCAUCACGCCGUCGUGCUGACGAAACUCUCCCUCAACACUCGGCUGGAUCGGAGCUCGAGGGACGUCACCGAGUUGAACGUGUGAGAACUCGGAGGUGCCGUACGUUCGGUACUUGGAUCGGUCGGAUCGGGAAGACGUACGACUACUUCCUCUACGUUGUGUCAACACUUCCGUUGCUGGUCUACGAGGGUACGUAGACGACACUCUCCCCUCUUAUUGCUAUGCAUCACCAUGUUCUUGCGUGUGCGUAGGAAAUUUUUUGAAAUUACUACGUUAUCCAACAAUGACGUACCUCUCCACCAACCCGGUACAACACCAACGCACCAAGCACGUGGAGAUUGAUCUUCAUUUCGUGCGCGACCGCGUUGUCUUCGGAGAUGUUCGUGUUCUGCAUGUUCCGGCAACCUCCCAGUUUGCCGACGUUUUCACCAAGGGGAUACCAACCGGCGUCUUGACAGAGUUCCGGUCCAGCCUCAAUGUCGUCGAAGACCCCGUUGCGGCUGUGGGGGGCUGCUGGAAUUGUAAAACGCCUCCUGCAUGUACAUUACCGGGUCCCUCGGCUGGACAGAUCGGCUCGCGCAAGUAGCAUGGGACACCUGCGUCUGUUACACACGAUCCCCUUCUCCGUUGCUUGUAGCUGCUGUACCUAGGCGUAUAUAUAUAACUCUGUACAAUCUGGAAUAGACACGGUGAAGAUCACCUUUCAACUGUUCGCACUGUGCGGCCAAACCUUGUUUGGCUGGGACUGACAAAUGAAAAUGAUGCACCCGAGCACAUCCAGAAGGAUCUGAACGCUCGCAGUCCAAACCAGCUUAUCGGCAUUGGUACAGAGUUGAGGCAAAACCGAGCAGUGAAGCAAGCUCCAGCAUUUUCAACAUGAAGGAAACGAAAAAGACGAAACAGGCUCCAACAUUCUCGUCAAAAAAGAUAAGAAAAGGAAAAAAGAAACAGGCUCCAGCAUUCUUGACACAAAAGAAAUGAAGAAGGAAAACGAAACAGGCUCAGGCAUUCUUGACACAAAAGAAAAGAAAAAGGAAAAGGAGAAAGGCUCCAAUAUUCUUGACAAAAUAGAGAAGCAAAAGAAAAAGGAAUCAGGCACAAGCAUCCUCGACACAGAAGAAAAGAAAAGGGAAAAGGAAAUUGGAUCCAGCAUUCUCGAUAAAAAGGAAGAGAAACAGGAAACAGGUUCAACCAUUCUCGACAAAAAGGAAAAGAAAAAGAAAACAGGCUCCGACAUUUUGGACAAAAGAGAAAAGAACAAGGAAACGAAAACAGGCUCCAGCAUUGAUCUCGACAAGAAAGAAAAGAAAAAAAUUUGAAAAGCAAGCUCCGUCAGAACGGUAACAGUAGCACCAAUGCUAAAGAAGAGCAAAUUGAACAGUAGCACCAAGGUGAAGGAAGCUCAAGACCGAUGAGAUGUCCUGGUUUCUAUAUAUCCAAUUAAUAUACCAUAUUUUAAUUAUUGUAACAAUAUGAUUGUAUUUUUUGUGAUGUAAUGAGUCGUUUGAUUCGAACCUCUGUUUGUUCAGUUUCUGCUUGCUGCUGUUGUAAUCACAAACCGUCAUGUCAAAUAAAUGGAGUGAAUAGCAAAAAACUACCAUAUUACGGGCUAUCGUUCCGGAAAACUAUCGCUUGUUUUAAUUUUUCAAAAAACUACCACAAAAGUGGCUGGCUGUUCCAAAAAACCCAAGUGGCCGAACGGUUAAGUUUUAACUGGGGUUAUGACAUGUGGGGCCCGCCCGUCAGGGUUUUGUCGGCCACAGUGCUCACGGCGCGCGGGUGACGGCCGUUAGGGCGCACGGCCCGUCCCGACGAGGUCAAAAUGGAUCCGGCCCUCACUCUGUCUCCCUCUCGCUCACUCACUCUCUCCCCCCUCACUCUCACUCUCCCCCCUCGCUCUGUUUCCCCUGGCCGAGCUCUCCAUCGUCGCUGACCACCUCAGUUCCUCGUCGCCGGCCAGGAUGCCUUCUUGGAAUGAUGGGGAUGAGAGCUCCGACGAUAGCAUGGGGGGCAACCUGAUGGACAUGGAGUACUUUGUAAGCCUCAUCGUCCUCCUCUCUGUCAUUAUCUAGGGUUAGGGUUGAAUCGAUUUGGGAAUGAGGGUUGAUGAGCUGUAUAUUUGUAUGCAUGGAUUCAUUUGGUUUGGUUAUCUAUUAGUUUUGAUCUAGGGUAUGGAUGGCACUGUGAUGUCUGAUCUGACCUUGAGCAAGGCAAAGCUUGACUCAAGUUGAACUAGUUGAUGCAUUGGUUCUGAUCUACCUUUUACUGCAUGUAGGACACACCUGACACCAUCCCUGAGCCACUCUGGUGUGGUGCUCCCAUGGAGGAAGUUGCCAAGUGUACUCUGCAUGAUAUGAAGCCUAGGAAGUGUGUUGCUUUUGAAGGUGCUAAGACUGGGAGGAGGUUCUAUGGAUGCCCUGUUCAGGUGAGUAAUUGAGUAUCCUGGGUGGAUUCAGUUAUGCCUAGUGGAUUCAGUUAUUCCUAGUGGUUACUGAAUUUGUACAUUAACUCUAUUUGAACUGAAUUUAGUACUGAAUUUAUGGUUACAUGUCCUCCUUGUGUACCAACCCUCUUUUUGAAUUGAAGUUAGAACUGAAUUUCUGCAUUUUCUGAAGUAUGUGUUCUCUGAUCAAACUACAGGGAGGUGUGAAUUGUGGUGUAGUUCAGUGGGUUGAUCCUGCCUGGCCUGAUGUACUUAAGAACUGCCUCAUCAAGUUGUGGGAAAUGUUCCAUGAGCAAAACCUUGGAAGGUUUCAAGACAAGCAUGCAUAUGAGGAUGAGGUUGCCAAGUUGAAGAAGGACUAUGAUCUGCUCUGCACUGAGUAUCAUAAAAUGGUUGAUGAUGUUAGCAAGAUGUUUGACUGGCAUGAUGGUGUUGGCAAGAUUGACUACCAAAAAGCAAUGGAUGCUGGGAAAUUUGAGAAGCAGAAGGAAGAGCUAGAGCUGGAGAUGAAGAUGGAGAAGCUAAGGCUAGCAAAAGAACAGAGGUGUAUCCUUCAGGCCCAGGCAGACAUAAUUCACAACACCAGGAAGGCAAUGAAAGAGAUAAAGGUGGACAGGGAUCUUUUUGCACAAGAGAAGACAAAGCUUGAGAAAGUAGUUGCUGAUCUGCUAAAUGCUGGCCAUGGGAGCAAGGAAAAGCUUGAGAAAAUCAAGGCCAUACUGGAGGCUUGAAGAUUUGGACAAUGGUGGUUAAGUAAGUAAGGUGGCCUACACAUAUAACAGGCCUUGCAAGAUGAUGGUAGGAGUAUAUUUUGUGCAGUCCUAUAUGAACUAUUUAAGUUAUGGUAACUAGAGUGGUGGAGAACCUUUGCUAAGUCUGGCUUAUGUUAUUGUACUGUUAAGAACCUAUCUAUCUUAAGUAAUGCAGUGAAGAACUGUUUUAUUUCUUUAGGUUGUUUUCCUGAAAGUAGCAAUGCUGAACUAGUAUAUUUUUGGGCCUAAAACCAUUAUGUACACAUUGUGGGCCUAGACUGGGCUGUUUUAUUACUCCACCUACCUACCACCAACCAUUAGUAGUCUAUAAAGCCCACCCCUUGAGUGAAACCGCAGUCAAUCCCCCCAUCCCCACCCUUCUCAACCCCCCAGCCGCCAAAGAAACCCUAGAAUCCAAGGGAGAGAUGGAUCCUGGAGAGGUCAUAGAUGGAGAAGAAGAGGUGCCCAGACAAGCCAGGCGCAGAGAUGCAAGGAGGAGGGCGAGAAGGCAACUUGCUGAGAUGAUCCUUGCAACACGCAACCGCAAGGACAUAAAGCAGUUCCUGGAGGCAUUCCCCCCUGGUUCCAACCCUAGUGAUGAUGAUAUCAUCUACUGGGCAAGGAGGAGGGCAAAUUUCCAUCCCUUUUAGGUCACUAGGCAAAGGUGGACUAGGAUUUUGUACCCAUGAUGCUGCUGUUAUGUUUCUUUGUUCCUAGAUCUGUCUUUCUAUCUAUGUGAUGUUUGAAGUUGGUGUAAGAACAAUGUUGAAUGAGCUAUGUAUGUGACGAAUCAAGUUGUCCAUGAUGCAAUGCAAUGUAUGAAGCUGGUGAAAGAAAAAUGUUGAAUGAUCUAUCUAUGUGAUGAAUCAAUCUGUCUAUGAUGCAAUUUAUGAGUGAAUCUUUUAUCUAUAUUUGUAUGUAUGAAUGAAUUGAUCUGGUGAUCUUGAUGUUUUAAGUUAGAUAUGUUAUGGUUUGUUCAGAUGGCCAUAUCUUGUUGUUUUAGGUUUGAUCUCUUAGGGUUUGGUGCCUAGAUGGGAAAAUCUUGAUGUUUUAGCUUUGAUAUGUUAGGUUUUGGUCCUAGAUAGCCACUUUGGGGUUGGUCAACAAGUAGCCACCCAAAGUGGCCAAAUUUGGGUGGCUUUAGGGUUGGUCGACAAGUUCCACCCCAAAGUGGCCAAAUGUGGCCACUUUGGGGUUGGUCGACAAGUAGCCCCCCAAAGUGACCAAAUUGACCUAAUCAUAUCAAUCAAUUAUCAACAAAAUAAAUCACUUGAUCUACAUAACAAUGCUCAGCAUAAGAAAUAAUUUCAUAUGAAACAAUUCAUAACCUAGGACAUAUCAAAUCAAAAUAAAGCUUGACAACAGAUAACUUAAUUGUUCCAAGCAGUUCAAACACAGACCAUAUAACUUAAUUGUUCCAAGCAGUUCAUACAUAGACCACAUAACUUAAUUGUUCAAAUGAAAAAAAAGUUCACUGCAAAUAACACAGAUAGCAAGCAUGCCUAGCAAGUAGAGUUCAAGGCAUAAAGCAUAGUUGAGUGCAACACAUUCAAUGGUUGCCACUGGCUGUGAAAUACAAAGCAAGUUUGCUUGGGGCCUUCCUCUUCCUCUUAGAACCAACAUCAGCUUGACCUGAUGUUGAUGCUGCCCUUGGAGCAUUGAAACCUCUUGCACUUGACCUGGUGUUCUUUACUGGAGAUGAUGCACUUGACCUGGUGUUGUUGGCUGGUGCUGAAGCAGGUGGUGGGUUCUUUCUCUUUCUUGAUCCACCUGUUGAAACUGCAGUAGAUGUGGUUGCCCUUGUUGUAGCAGAUGUGGUUGACCUUGUUGAAGUUGUUGCUAGUUUCCUGCCCCUAAGUGGUCCUAAAGCUGGAGCUGGACCUGAAGCUGGAGCUGGACUUGAAGCUGGAGCUGGACCUGAUGAUGUGGCCUGGUGGUUGUUUUUCCUUGUCAUAAACUUGGCCUUAAGUCCGUCUCCAUAGAUUGUCCACCUGUGGCCUUGCAGACCACAGUUACUGCAUGUUAUUGUGCCCAUCCUUGAUGUAUCCUUUGGAGCUGGCACCUCAAAUUCACCCUUUCUCCUAGCUGUCUGCUUCUUGCCUUUCUUCUCCCUGAAAACUGGUGGUUCUAUGUCUGGUGUGUUGGUGUUGGGCCAGAAUUCAGGGCCAGGGACAGGGUAGAUGAUGUGCUGGUAUGCAGCCUUAUACAUUGGCUUCUUAAAGAAUGGAUGCACAUAAUCUUCUGGGUGAACUUUUAUCUUCUGCAUUGCAGAUAUUGCAUGGUGGCAAGGUGAUCCAGUCAUGUCCCACCUCCUGCAAGAGCAGCUCCCUACAUCAAGCUUCACACAAUAUGUGUUCUCUCCACUAGUUACUUGCCAGAUGUUGGGACCAGCCAUGUUUGCUUCACAGUAUUUAGCCCACUUCUUGCUCUCCUCAAGCUUCUCCAUGUAAUCUGGGGUUAUUUCCCACCUACAGCUCUCUGUUUUCUCUCUGAUGCCCUGGUACUUAACCAUUAGUUUGGUCCUCAACCCUUCAAACAUGGUCUUAAUUAGUUUUGACCUAACAUCUAGAAUCAUUUUUUUGAAAACCUCACUAAGGUUGUUCACUACCAAGUCAGUCUUGCACACAUGAUCCAUUGCAUAUCUAGCCCAACACUCCUUAGGGAUGCCAUUCAACCACAUGUAGGCUGGUUCACAUGCUGCUUUCAAACCUGCCAUUCCUUCUUUGUGACCAUGUUUAGUGAAGGAAUAGCUAGCUUUGUCAACCCAUUUCUUAAGUUCUUCUGCUCUAAAGCCAGCUGACUGGAAGUUGGCAUAUAUGUGUCUUAGGCAAUAUCUUUGUGGGGAUUGAGGAAAUACUUCAUUAAUUGCUUUAAGAAGGCCCUGUUGUUUGAUUACAUAAGGUAGUAAUGAGAUAACUAUAGCAGCAUUGCUAUGUGCAUAAGAAUAAUACAGAGCCAGAGAAAAUACCUUCUGCCUGUCAGACAUGAUGGUGUAGUUUCCAAACUGGUUGCUGGUGCCAAUGCAGACUCUAAGUUGGUUUAAAAACCAGGUCCAGCUAGGCCCAUCCUCUUUGUCAACCACCCCAAAAGCAAUUGGGAACACAUUGUUGUUCCCAUCUCUCCCAGUUGCUACCAAUAUCUGUUGGCCUGUGGAUAACUUGAUGAAGCAACCAUCAAGUCUUGCAUAAACAGAGAUAGUUAGGGCAAAAUUGAAUAACUUGAUUACAUUUGUAACAUGAUUAAAUCACUGAUUUGUACCUAUGAAAGGCCUACAACCAGCAAGAAAUCCAUCUUUUGAUGCCUGGAGGCAAUAGAACAUGUACUUGAACCUUGGUGUGGGGGCUGGGUUCAAAGGAUCCUCAAAAGUUGUCACUAUGCACCUGCUUCCAGGGUUUGUGUCAAGCACACAUUGUAGGUAGUCCCUCAACCUCAGAUACUGCUUUCUAUGAUCACCUUGCACAACAUCAACAGCCAUCAGUCUUGCCCUAUAUGCCAAACUCCUAGGUACAUGCACCCCAAACUUCUUCUUAGUAUGUUUGAGAACUGUCUCUACAUCAGCCUUUACAUUUGAUCUAACUGUGUCCUCCACAGCUUCUGCAACCCAUUCAGCAGUAACCUUUGUACUCUCUCCACAAGCUCCACAACUAUGAUCCAUGUGGCACUUCUUGAUUGUGAAUGUAUCUUCAUGGGCUACUUUGGAUGCAGUCAUGAAAAAAUCACAUCCAUUCUUCCUCUCUGGGCACCAAACAAUAACCCUUGAUGGUUCAUUCCUAUGGUACUGAAAGUUUCUCAAAGUCCUAACAUGAAAAUUUCUCAAUGCCUUUCUAAACUCAUACACAUUGGUGAAGCAAAGGUCCUUGCACAGCUGCUCAUGUGCAUCAGGUACCUUUGGGUCAUACCAUUUCCUCUCUUUCUUCUUCUUCAAUCUUCUCUUCCUUCCAGAAGGUAGUCUUGGAGUCUCCCCAUCUGAGUCAGAAAUGCCCAUAUCACCAGGGAAGCAAUACUCAUCAGCUUCAAGUACAAAAUCUUGAAACUUUGGGAUCUCUGGCUGACUGUGAGCUCUGGAAGUUGGACCUGGAUUUGCUACUGCUCUUCUCACAGGCUUGAGUUUCUCAGGCCUGCAUUUUUCCACAACUAUUUCCUCUCCACUGUCUGCCUCUUUCUCCUCCUGCCAAAACUCUGAAACAUCACUGUCACCUUCAAACUGUGGUCUGUCUUCUAUAGCAUCUCUUUCUUCUUCAUUUCCAAUAUUUUCUUCACCUCUCUUCCAAGCCUUGUAAGACAUCUUUAUCCCUCUAUAGUCACCCCUAUCAAUCUCAAAGUCUGAGGAUGAUUUGUCAAUAUCAUCAUCCUCUUGACCAGCAGCCUGUCCAUCAUCAUCUCCACCAUUAGCUUCUGAAAUGUUGAAGUUACAGCUUUGCUGUGUGUUCAAAUUAACUUCAAGAGGGUGGACCACUCCAUCUUGUGACAGACUUAACACAAAACCAGGACCCCCCAGUGGGUUGCCUAUUGGAAUUUGUUCUUCACAAACAUUGUGAGCCCUGUUACAUUCAACAUCUCUAUCUUCAUUUGCCUUGGAAACAAUGAUAUUGAGCACUGUGAAAUCUAAGUGGUCUAUCAUUUCUUCAACUGCAUCUUGACUGUCCAAAAGAAAUAAACCUUCCUGUCCAAUCCCUUGUUCUUUUACCCAGUACAUGUAGUCAUCUGACCCAUAGCCUUCAGUCUCAGUAAGUGCUAUCAAGUUCAGAAAUGUGAUGUCUGAAACAGAAAACCUCCUUUCCAUAUUAUCUCUGCCCUGGAAAUGCAGCCUAACAUCCCAAACUUCAUCAUCUAGCCUGCAUUACAUAAUAUGUUAUUUGAAAAGCCCAACUAAGUAAGUGUUUUUGCUACAAAUAUUCAGUGCACACUACUAUAAAGUACAGUAAGGAAUCUGAAUCCAAAAAAUGCUUCUCUGAAUCCACCAUGCAUUUCUACUAAAUCUAACUAAUCCUUCAGUGCUAAGUGAUACUGUUGCAUCCAAAACAUGCCACAGAGUGUUUGCUCAACUAUUAUUCAGUGCAUGUUCAUGUUCUAAGAUGAAUCACAGCAGCAUCAACCUAGGGUUUGGUCAAAAAACUAACUAAAUUAUGCUAUGUUAUUUGAAAUGAACAAGCAGAAAUGCAGAAACUGUUGAAGGAGCUCAUAAGAGGAAAAAAACUUACUCCACCCCUCCAAAUGCAGAGGCCCAGUGCUGGGAGUUGGCCGGAUCUGCCUGCACAGCCCUAUCAAGAGACCUCGCUGCUCUGUACUCAAGCGAGAACUGGCAAUCAUCAGGCGACGGUGGUGUAGCCUGUGUCGUAGGAGCCUGCAUCAGAGCUGCAGCCUGUGGUGUCCGCUGCGGCGGCGGCGGCGCCGCCGGCUAGGUUGCGAAGCUACCACUCCCCAGCCAGUUAUCAACCUCUAAGAACUCGCCGCCUCCAUCCCCCCUUCCACCUCCACCCGUUGAAUGGCCGCCAUCGCCUAGUUUCGCCGCCGCCGCCGCCAUCGGAGAGGGAGGCGCGCACAAGAGAGAGGGAGACAGAGAGGGGGAAGACAGAGUGAGGGCGGGCCGGAUCCAUUUGACUUGGUCGGGACGGCCCGUGUGCCCUAACGGCCGUCACCCGCGCGCCGUGAGCACUGUGGCCGACAAAACCCUGACGGGCGGGCCCCACAUGUCAUAACCCCAGUUAAAACUUAACCGUUCGGCCACUUGGGUUUUUUGGAACAGCCAGCCACUUUUGUGGUAGUUUUUUGAAAAAUUAAAAAAAGCGGUAGUUUUCCGGAACGAUAGCCUGUAAUGUGGUAGUUUUUUGCUAUUUACUCCAAAUAAAUGCUUAAAAAGAGUGCAUCUAAUGGAGUAGUACAAAAUGGUAAAGAAAAUAAAUCAGCCACUAAUGGAGUAACAAAGGUGAUAGCACGGAGUUUGGUAGGCACCGACAAUGAGUAAGCAGGCUGAGGCCACCGGUGCACGAAGAGGAUCAGAAGCGCUGGUUGGGGCUGUGGUUUGGGGCGGCUGCGAUGAAACUUCUUAUUCAACGCUUAUAGCACCGUUUACAGUGUUAUCGGUACCUUUUUUUUGAGGGAAAGAGCCAACUUUAUUAAUCAAAAUCCACAGUGCGUGGGACACAACGAUGGUCAUGGGGCUGGCCAAGCCACACAUGACGCCCUGGUGGUAGCGAUAAAGAAAACCUAGCUAUCUCGUGAGCUUCAGCAUUCUGAGCUCGACUCUCAAAGGUGAAAUUACAUAAAAGUGGUGAUGAGCUCAUCUUUAUCUCUCUGAUUAUAGCUCCAUAAGUGCCAUGACUACCCAUAGCAAUGUCGCCAAUGACUUGUUUGCAGUCCGAAGCCACCACAAAACGUUGCACAUUAAGAUCUUGUGCUAGGGAAAUAGCCUCCCGACAUGCUAUGGCCUCCAGUGUCGCGGGGUCGCAAACUCCGACAAUGACAAGUGAUGAGCUCCCCAUAUAGACACCCUGGCUGUCACUGCAUAUGGCCGCGGCCGUGCCACCCCUCUGAAAUCUUACUGCCACGUCAACAUGAACCUUAGCAUAGCCAGCAGGUGGAGCCUUCAGCCUCUGAGUAGAAGCGUGGCCAGUAGCUGCAGAACGUACGUUGAUCUUUGCAGGGAGUGAGGCAGUAGCCAAAUCAGCCAUGAAGCGAGUUAUAAACUCCUUCGUCGCCCUGGGUGAUUGGAAUAUUGAUUCAUGGAUAGCUUUUCUCCUCGAGGUCCAGAUCGCCCAUAAGGUGACCGCCAGCAGAGUGAACUUCUCAUGUGUUAGCAUAUCCAUUAAUCCAAAGAGCCAGCUCUUCGCCCUCGUCUCCGUUGAUGCGACCAGACUGCAGCCCAAGUCCUCAUCUACCAACGCCCAUAUGCAUCUGGAGACUGUGCACUCCAGGAGGGAAUGACUCCAUGAAUCAGGAGAACCGCAGAGGCCGCACGAGCUAGUCGUUGACAUAUUACGAUGGGCCCUCACAUCCUCCGUCGGUAGUGACUGUUUUGAUAAACGCCAUAGAAACAUGCGUACUUUUGCUGGUACCACAGUUUUCCAGAGGGACUUCCAAGAGGCUUCAUCGACAUGGUUGCUGGAUGAUGCGCCGGAGCCCUCUAGCCACGCCUCUCGCCGUUGCUUCAUAGAUACCAACAUAUUAUAGGCUGACCUGACUGUGAAUUGUCCGGUUCUCUCGUGCAUCCAGCUCCAAAAGUCCUGCAUAGGAGCCGUACACAACGGGAUACCCAUGAUGAUUUUAGCAUCGAAAGGCAAGAAAGUUGCUUCCACCACAGAUCUCUUCCAUGAAGCAUUAGUUGCAUCGAUCAGUUCAGAUACUGUGUUGGGAGGAUUACUUACGCAACAACCAUACGGUCUCAUCAUCUCUGACCGGGGAAGCCAGUUUUCGGUCCAAAUGCUGGUGCUCGCCCCAUCUCCUAUCCGCUUGAUCAGUCCCAAUUUAAGAAUAUCCCGGCCUUCCACUAUGGCUCUCCAUAUCUGACUUGGAUGGUUCCCAAGUGUUGCCUCAAGUAUAGAUGUAUGUGGAAAAUAUACGCUCUUCAGAAUCCGUGCACUCAGAGACUCGGGGUCUUGUAACAUUCUCCAUGCCUGCCUGGCUAACAUGGCAAGAUUGAAAAGCUCAAAAUCUUUGAAUCCAAGGCCUCCCAUGCUUUUUGGUUGUGUCAUUGCUUCCCAAGAGACCCAGUGAGGUUUGCGUUGGCCGUUUGAGCUCCCCCACCAAAAUUUCCUUAUUAGCAUAUUGAGGUGCUCACAUAACCCCCUAGGUAGUUUGAAACAAGACAUGGAAAAUACCGGCACUGACUGGGCAACAGAUUUGACUAGUACCUCUUUUCCUGCCGCCGACAAAGUUCUCUCUAUCCAUCCCUGAAUUUUGCUCCAUAAUCUGUCCUUCAAAUAUUUGAAGGCACCGUUUUUUGAACUCCCUAUAUCAGAUGGCAUGCCCAGAUACUUCUCAUUCAAGGUUUCCUUGGGGACAUUGAACAUACCUUUUAUAGCAUUGCGAGUUUCCUCAGAAACGCCUUUACUAAAGAAAAUUGAGGAUUUGUUGUAGUUGAUUCUUUGACCUGAAGCUUGGCUAUAAAUUUCCAACAACUGGUUAACCUCUGUAGCACCCGCACUGUUGGCCUUGAAGAACAGCAGGCUGUCAUCAGCGAAUAGAAGAUGGUUAACUAGUGGUGCCUGCAGCGCCACCUGAAUCCCACCCAAGUUUGAUGACUCACUUUGUGAUUUGAAAAGGCACGACAUGCCCUCUGCUGCUAACAAGAACAAGUACGGUGAUAUUGGGUCACCUUGUCGGAUUCCACGUGAUGGGUUGAACUCCUCAAGUUUCUUUCCAUUGAACAUGACUGCGAAUUUUACUGAGGUAACCAUGCCCAUUACAAUAUCCACCCACCUUCUGUUAAAACCCAAUAUAAUCAUGAUGGCUUAGAGAUAAGCCCAUUCAACUCGAUCAUACGCCUUCAUCAUAUCCAAUUUCAGAGCACAUGAGUGAUUUUUCUUUUCCUUGUUCCUCUUCAUGAAAUGCAAUCACUCAUAUGCCGUUAUUAUGUUGUCUGUGAUCAAUCUCCCCGGAACAAAGGCUGAUUGUUCAGCAGAAAUUAUAUCUGGCAGUAUCUGUUUGAGUCUGUUGGAGAUUACCUUGGACGCUAUUUUAUAGAGCACGUUACAUAAACUUAUGGGCCGAAACUGGGCAAGGAGUGUGGGGUUUUUGACCUUGGGGAUGAGAACCAGCACCGUAUUGUUAAUGCAUGCUGCUGACUCUGUCCCGUCCACAAUUUUGAGUACCACUUUCGUUACAUCUGCACCGCAUACAUCCCAGUGGCGCUGAAAGAAGUGAGCGGGGAAUCCAUCCGGGCCAGGGGCUUUGAUUGGAAACAUUUGGAACAACACACUUUUCACUUCAUCGUGUGUGUAAGGAGCAUUCAGACGAUCGUUCAUUGCCUGCGUUACUUUAGUAGAUACUGACUCCAGUACCCUAUCCAUGCCCUGUACUCCCUCGGUUGUGUAUAAGUUUUUGUAAAAUUCGGUGGUAAGCUCCUCCAUCUCCUCCCUGUCCUCGGUCAGCUAUCCAUCCGAUCGCUGCAACAAUUUUAUCUGGUUCUUCCGGCGGCGGCGGCUCGCUCGCAGGUGAAAAGAAUAAGUGUUUUUGUCACCAUGGACCAGCCAAUCCAGUCGAGCGCGUUGGCGCCACAUCAAUUCCUCUCUAUCAAACAGUUCGACCAGUCUGUCAGCUAUCUUGGUUUCAGUGUUUGUCGGUCCCGUCCGUCCUGGCGCUGAACGCAUGACCUCAAGCUGGCGUUGGAGUUGGCGAAUCUCCAUACGCACCGAUCCGAAGUUGUUGCGGUCCCACGCUGACAAAUCUCCCGCCAGGUUCCCUAGUUUUGCAUGUAUGCCCUCAACCGAUUCUCCAUCCUGCAGACUCCAGCUAUCACGCACAGUGUCAAACAGUGUUUCGUCCCUUUCCCACAUCGUCUCAUAUUUAAAAGCCUUGUGGCCCAUUUUGCAUGCAUGCAACUCACGUAGCUGAAGAAGAAUAGGAAUGUGAUCUGAACUAGCAGCACUUUUGUGCGAUAGCUGUGAUGAUGCGAGGGCGAGAGUCCAUUCUGUAUUUACCAGGCACCUGUCCAGCCUAACCUGGGUGUAGGUGCCUCCUGUGACCCUUUUUUCAAAUGUCCAACUAGUGCCAGAGUAUCCAAUAUCUGAUAACCCACAUGUAUCAACUGCUUCCCUGAAUGCUUCUAUUUGGGCUUGGCUUCGUUGUCCCACACCAUCAUGUUCAUGGCUGUGAAGAACCUCAUUAAAAUCUUCCAUGACUGCCCACGGUCUGUUCUGCGUCUCAGCAAUACCGCGCAGGGUGUCCCAUGUUUUGUAUCUCUCUGGUACCUGGGCUUCGCCAUAGACAAAGGUAAUUCUUACCUGCAAAUCAACUAAGUCAUCAACAAGAAUAUCAAUGUGAUACUUUGAGUAAUCGAUAACUUCCACUUUUAUUUCAUCGUUCCAAAAAAUUCCAAGUCCACCACUUCUACCGGAACUACUAACUGCAAAGCUUUUAUUGUAGCCUAUGCUAUCAGCCAUACUCUCAACCCUCUUUCCCUCUAUUUGAGUUUCAAGAAUACAAACAAUAGAGGGGGCAAACUGCCUCGCUAGAUCGUGAAGCUCUCUAACUGUCGCGGCUUUGCCAAUCCCGCGAAAGUUCCAGCAAAGAAGACUCAUUGCGCUAGGCGCGGCCCCGCUUCGGAGCCCGCCACAUGCGCAUCAGGGUUUUUGGUAGAAACUGUGCUCUUCUCCAGAGCUGACUCAUUAGACGAGGUUGACUUCAAUCUUUUCAGAUCCUGCUUGGGAGGAGGGCUAAGGGGCACCGCAGGUGAUGGCAGAAACAGUUGCUUCGUCUGUUGUACCGAAUAGGUUGGGAACGUGGUUUUUGGAUCAUGUGCCCCUCUCUUCCUGUUGCGAUCAACCUCAGUCAUUGCUACAUCUCCGUCUCGCUGAUCACGUUCCUGGUGAUGUUGAUCAUCAAACGAGUCUGCACUAUUGGGCGAUCGUCCUCUUCCUCUUCCCCCACGGCCUCUGCCGCGACCUCUCCCUGCAUUGCUGCUCUCGCCUUGAUAUCUUUGAAGACCAGAGUCUUUGGGGCAUGAACCCCGUCCCCGCACUCUUUGUGUUGGUGACCUAGAUGUCCACAAACUGCACACCAGUCCGGCAGUCUUUCAUAUUUGACUCUAAAGAUGACUCGUUCCACCGAAUCCUUUUUCCUUAUUACCAGUGAAACAACGUUCUUCAAAGGUUUAGUGACAUCGAUCCUGACUCAAACUCUAGCAAAGUUACCUUCAAAAUCCGGGGAUCUAGGCUCUGCAUAUAUGAAUUCUCCCAUAGUAGCAGACAUAGCUUUGACCUUAGAAAAGAAGCCAUCGGGCAGGUCGUGAAUCUGGAUCCAAAUUUCCAAUUUGUUGAGCUCUAUAGACGACGGCUUUGUGAAGCCAUCAUACUCUGCCAGAACUACUGCUUUCCCCUUGAAAUUCCAGGGGCCAUCUCCCAUAACCCUCUCCCAGUCACCCAGGCACGAGAAUUGCAUUGAGUACAGAUUAUCUUCCAGUGGUCUGAUCUUUACCUCUUGAGCUAGGUCCCAGGCCACUCUCAUAUUCCUAUAAAACCAAUAUUGGCUGUAUGUUUUCUCCGUGUGAACCCUAGCCAACGCCAUCCAGCGUGUUUCUUCCUUCGGCAGCUCGGUGUCUUCCACCACAACAUCAAUCAGAUCAUCUUCUUUCAGUCCAAGUUCCUCCAUCAUCGCAGCCAGAUUGGACGCAGUUGUACUUGAUCCAGAUGCAGUCGAACUCAUCAUGCGCUCGCUCGAGGUUAGGGUUCCGCGAGCGGUAGGUCCCAAGGAGUCACCACCCGCCCAGAACGCCGCGGCGGCCGAAGGCCACAGCGAUCGCCGGAAGGGGGUUAACAUCCGGGGAGGAAAAGUCCCUACGGUGUCGGCGUCGCCGUCGCUCGAGGGAAGAGAAAAACCCUAACGAGAGGGGAAACUUAGGAGGGAGAUUAGUGUUAUCGGUACCUGCCGCCCACACUACUUUAGAUAGCUAAUUGUAACUGGGCUGGCCCAUAUGUGUGAGCCCUCCUCCAUUACCGGUUGUGAAGGAAUUUCCUAUUCAACGCUUAUACCAUUUGUUAUAGUGUUUUCCUUUUGUUACAGUGUUAUCCGGGGACCUCCUACUUGGUCACCUGCGCGCAAAGUAGGAGGGAACGUGCACCCUUGGCUCCCAUGUAAGAGUUUUUCCCGCCCUAUUUUUAUUAUUUCAUUUUUAUGCCUUUUGUUUUUUCAUUUCUGUUUGUGUUUUUCUUCUUUAAAUAAUGUGUGGUUAAAAAAAUUCCCAAUUUCAAAACAAUACCAAAAUUGUUUGACAAAUCAGGAAAUAUUUGUGAAUUAAAAAUUGUUGAUGACUCUUCACUUCAGUGUCUCGACCCACCGGAACAAAAGCCGUGUGUACAAAUUGUGUUCGAAGCUUAUCGUAAACUGGCUUAGCAAGUGUAGUCUUGCCAAGUCUGCCUGGUCCAACAAUUGAGACCAUCUUCAUCUUGUGCUGCUGUUGCUUGAGACCAUGUGUGAGCCUCUUGGUUAGCUUGUUCCAUGCAUCUUCAAUGCCAACGAGCUCUUUCUGAUCAUUGUACAAAGCCAAUACACGAGGGUCAACCUUCUGUUUGCUAGCUGGAUUAGGAACAUCAUUGACCCUGUAUCUGGCACGCCGGCCAGCCAUCUCUUGAGAGCGGUUCUUGAUGUACCUGAUUGCAUCUCCGAUCUGAUGGCGAGUCUUGCCUUUUGUGAACAAGUUGGCCAUCUUCCCUACCUAUCAUUUGAUCAUGUUUGAGUUGGGGACGGCAUCAGAUUCAUAUCCCUCGACGGACACUAGGAAGUUAUCGAUGACAUCCUCCAUGUCAUACGACAGCUCCCUUUUAGGGAUUCAUGUCCCUUGGAAUCUCCGCCACCUUUACGAGGGCAGCGUUCAAGCUCUUCAUGUCCCUCUGGAGGGACUCGACGUACCGAAUAAAUGGGAGUUAGAGGACAGGAAUCUGUUGUAGGAAAGACAAAGGAAAUUGUUCUCCAUCGCCGUCCGGUUCCACUGGGAAAAAAUUACAUCCACUGCAACACCAAGACCGCAUGCUUACCGAGUAGUAGUAGAAGCAGCAGAGCUGAGUAAGGCACCCACUACCGAAUGCAGGGAUAAAUCCAGCACCAAGUAAGCAGCUCACAAGUGAGAGACGGCAUGCGCUUUGCGAACGGAAGGACAGGAGCAGAAAACAUUUUGGGAGAAAGAUCGACGUGGCUCAGAAAAUUGAAGGCGGUCUACUCCUCCUGAUUGAAGCCGGCGACUACACAAGCGCCAUGGUUUGAUGGAGCAAGAGAAAUGGUGUUGAACCCCCAACUCGUUCCAUUUCUAGCAGAAAAGUAGGGCAAUAAUUGAGUGGUGGUAUGUUAUUAGUGCUGGUAAUGGAGUAGGAAGCACCCUAGAAGUGCACCAACUAGUACAUCAAAAUACUCCUGCCAGUGGCGGUGGUAGAUCAUUCAUGUGUACUACUCGAUCGUAACAAGAACAAUUACAUGAACCAGCUUGUGCCACUAGUAAUAAUAUUUAGCUUAUUUUUACAUUAAGUUUUGCAAUGAAUAAUAUUUAGGUUAUUAAAAAGACUAUAGUUUAAUGGAUGGCCCAGAUUUGGAAAUAUUACUGCAGAUUUUUGGUAGUAAUAGACUUGCUUCACUUGUCGAUUUAUAUGAUCUGUCGCUUUCAGCGACGUUUGGGGCUGUGAUUUGGGUUUGUUGUCAUUGAAAUUGCACAACUAUAGAAACUGGAUUCUUUUUUAUUAUUAUAGUGAGCACAAGGAAUCAUGUUACUAGUUGAAUUCAUAGAAAAAGACUCCAUUCAGACUCUGUCCUGCUCCAUGAAAAUAUCCUAUCAGAUAGACGCAGAGCGGUACAUAUACAGACUCAGGUUUCUUGAAAUCUAAUGCAACCAAGUCUUGUACAAUGGUCACAUGUUAUGUGACCUGAACCAAUUAUGGGUUUGCACUUGAUAAUUCCCGCACGAACCACAUGUAAACAUGGUUCGAAGGCUUGAAUAACAAUGUAAAAUUGAUGUCAAGUUUUCCCGACUUGAUUCCUGUCUAGGUUGGAGUCAUCAGUCUACUUGAAGCACUCGUUUUUCUCAUCUACGUUGGAGGACUGAUUGGAGCAUGAAUUAGUUGAGGAGAUAGAAACCCAUUUUUGGCGAGGGAGAGGACAGAAACCCAUGACACAACAAGGUUUUCAUGAUCAUCAUUGGCUAACUUCAAAGUUCCAACAGAGUGCCAACUACCAAGUGAGUAGCAGUACAAGGCACUGUUCAGCUGAAUCAAUCUUUACAACAUUAACCUAUCAUUCACUGGCGUUUCAUACCCAGAAUUGACUCUUAUAACAGUACAGAAGCAAACCCCUACUUCGAGUCAGUGUUGCUCUGUACUUUUUUUAACGGAGGUUAUAACUACGGCCUCUUUAUUUAUUAUUCAGCGGCCAUCUUUAUUUAUUAUUCCACCAAAGUCUAACAAAAACAUACAUCAAGCUACUCGAAGACAUCACUCACACCUACAAAACUCGAAAAUGUAGAGUGCUCUCACACUCCUCAUAUCUAAACCGGUAUCGUCGCUGAUCCAUCCACAUAACGUGUCGGAACGAACAGCCAGUGCAGCAGACCUAAAGCGCACACCACAUGCACAUGUUUUAGACGCCGCCAUCAUCUGCAGACCGCUGACCCAUCUUCAGGAGAGAGAUCCACAUCAUCCUUGCCAGUCCGUCCAUCCAGUCCCUCCCUCCUCUCGGCCUCCCUAUUAUCCCUCCUCACCCUCUGCUGCUGAUCUGUGGCGGCCUCUCCAAUAGCUCUGUGGCCUUCUUUCGCUGCCGCACCGGCCCGAGCGUUGUCGCUUGCAAGCCGUCCGGAGGCCACAAUGGCGCUCUCCCGUCGGGACUUUGCCACAUUCCAGCAUAUCAGUUGCUCUGUCAUGGGGAUCUGUCCUGCUCCUAGCCGUGUCUCCCGCGAUGGUGGUAGACCUGACUUGUACUACAAUGUUCUUUGGUCGCACGGCUGGCCACGGCGGUUUGCUCCGUUCCUUUGUAUCUAUGUUGCAGCUUCAAUUGUGUUAUGCAUGUCAUGGAUGUAUUAUAAUUCUGGGAUGCAUGUAAUUGUAUUGCUAUGAAUCUUAAAAUUGCUAGGUGUUCCAUGAACCAAUGAAUAUGCUAGAAAAUAUUACUCUGUCAUAUAUAUGUUAGAAAAUGUUCUCGUCGGGCCGGGUUUCUCUGCCCUAGAGAACAUAUUCUACAUGUUAUAUGCGACAAUGUAGUGAUGAAUAUUUCACCGGAAAUAGUGUAAAUGCAACCAACUCCCCCAUUAGGAGACAGAGUGGAAUAUUGUUUGACGAUAGACUUGGUUUAUGCAUAUUCGACGCACGUUUGAAUUUUUUCUCCCGAGCCACAAGAAAGCUCCUCGCGCGACCGCGUCCGUCCCUCAUGGGCGGCCGGCCGCGCUGUCCAUCCCUCCUUCCCAGCGCUCUCCCCCACCCUCUCUCUCCCCACCGUUGCCGGGGUGCAUCCCCGGGCUCGGCUCGGGCGGCGCCGGCGGUGCGGCCCACGGCUUUCCCCCCUGCGGCAGAUCCUGUGCGGGGCGGCGCUGCUUAAGGAGGUGCUCUCAGGUGGCGAUGGUUCGGCGCUGCGGUGGGCUGGUUCGCCGCUGACUUCGGUGGUCAGAGGCGGAGGAGCUCCGCGGCGGCGCGGGCUGGUGGCGCCCGUUCGGCCCAGAUCUGGGCCGAGGCGGGCCGGCAGCUCCGAUUUGUGGUGUAUCUUCCUGGAAGCGGCGGUGGGGUGUCUGGAUCCUGGGUGGUGGCGGCAUCGUUGCCGGAUUGUGCAGCGUGGCGGUGGAGUCUUUGCGGGAUCGAUCUGAGCCCGGCUAGGCCCGGGUGGCCUGGUUUGCCUCCCGCCUCGGCGUCCGGCUGGCUACCGCGAUGGCGUUGGAGGAACUGGCCUCUGGCGCGGCGUCGGUGGAGGUUGUCCCCUCCCGCUUGGCUGCGGUGCUGCCACCCCCGGCUCCAUGCGUUCUCAUUUUCCGUCCUCUAGGCCUCGCGGUGGUGGCCUUAGUGAGACGGCGUGGGUGGCCUCAAGACCGCGGUGGCGAAGGAGGGUGGGUGGCGUGUUGGGUGGAAGACUCCGGAGCGAUUGGGUAGUGUGCACAAGUGUUAGAAUCCUAAAAGGUAAAUAGUUUCUUAAGAUCUGAAGCAAGUGUUGGAAGAUUCUGCUGCCUCUAGAUACACAACAAAUGUCCACAUGUUGCUUCUUGGAGAAGCCGAGAGAGCCUUGAGCGGAGUGUUUAACCUUAUGUAUGAUAUUCUUAACUACCAUUUGUAUUAAAUGAACCAAUAAACAUUUUAUGUUAAUUGUCUUGACAAAUUUUGCUGUGUGCAGACUUACAUAUUAGUGGCACUACACAAAAAAAGAUGGCUAAGGGGUUUAUGAAGUAGGAUAGAGAUUGGUGAGAAAAUAUGUGCCCUCUCUCUCGUUUGUAAAGAGGUUCAAAUGUUAUGUGUGUAGCUUUUGCUAGUAUUCUCGAAUCGUUGGCCGUGAAUUGUCAAUUGUGUAAAUGUACAUGUGAAUUGUCUUAUGAAAAACAAUGUGCAACUGAGUGAUUAUGCCUGUGUAUUGUGUUCAUGUCUUUCUGUAAAUUUCGUUUGCAUUGCUGGUAACAUACUGAAAUGAAGUGCAUGCAUGCAAUGGUGAAAUGAAUCGGUACGAUCGACUGGCUGGCGGUCCAAACUAGUACACUAUCACUGACCGGUUAGAUUGCGGGUCUAUGAUGAGCAAGUCAUCACAAACCCUGAUCCACUGACAGACCAGCAACUAGUUAGUGAUGAUGAAAUUUGGCCGGUAAGUGUUAUUCGGAUUUGUAGUANNNNNNNNNNNNNNNNNNNNNNNNNNNNNNNNNNNNNNNNNNNNNNNNNNNNNNNNNNNNNNNNNNNNNNNNNNNNNNNNNNNNNNNNNNNNNNNNNNNNNNNNNNNNNNNNNNNNNNNNNNNNNNNNNNNNNNNNNNNNNNNNNNNNNNNNNNNNNNNNNNNNNNNNNNNNNNNNNNNNNNNNNNNNNNNNNNNNNNNNNNNNNNNNNNNNNNNNNNNNNNNNNNNNNNNNNNNNNNNNNNNNNNNNNNNNNNNNNNNNNNNNNNNNNNNNNNNNNNNNNNNNNNNNNNNNNNNNNNNNNNNNNNNNNNNNNNNNNNNNNCUCGGGUUUCUGCCCCUUUAUGAUAUAUGAGAAAACUGAACGAUUCAGGUGAAACUAGUCAUGAUAAUAAUUAGCAAUUCUAGUAUUUUAACACACAUAUCCCAAUCACUAUAGUUUUUUCAAACGACUAUUUUAACAACGCAUCUACGAUUCAUAGUAAAAUGUGACAUUGUAUACUGUAAAAUUUCUACAAUCUACAAGGUCAAAUUUAUUGUAAAUGUGACCACAACACCAGAUACACUAGAAAUAAAGUAAAACCCUAAAAGUCCCAUGCUAGCUAGACUACUCUUGGUUGGCUAGAAAUUAGGAGGGAGUACCCAGAUGCCAGUUUGAGCACGAGCUGCUACAUAAGAUCCCGCUGAUUUGAUCCUCUGUGUGACAUUGUCGCUACUUUCAUCUUGCAUAGGAUAUACACGGUUACCAUUGCCAUCAAAACUUGCCAAGUAUGUCAUAUCAUCAGCGUAGAUGUGGUUUCUCUGCACCCUGUCGCGCCCAACCACCGGCACGUCAACCGCCCUGGACAUUUUCCCCAAAAAUAAGGCGGAGUCACCCAAGGUCCUUACUUCCUCCCACUUACGAGCAUACUUUGUCAUCGAGUCAUCAUCCAACACAUAAACCUUGAAGAAAGGCUCAGGGCCGGUGUGGUAUGAUGGGAAUUUCCCCAGUACCAUCGCUAGCUUCCCUUGCAGCUCAACAAUGUGAGUCGACCAUGUGAAAGGUUCACUAACAAUCUUGAUAUGCAACUCGGCGUCAAUGGCGAGCAGAGGCCUGCCAUAUUUGUUCGCGCCUAUGUUGAAUUUGAUCAGGUCAUUGGAGAAUAUUAUAUUAAUGUCAAUUUAAUAUUAUACUAUGUGUCGUCAAUUUAAAAGGCUCCUGCCGUCAUGCCUUUGAGUAUUAUAUUAAUGUCAAAUUGUUUAAAUGCUAGUAAUUAGUUAACUUAGAAGCAAACUGUUUAUUGAUAAAAUGCUAUAGUAUAAUUAAGGGAGUUUUUUUUUUGAAAAAUAAUAAUGUUAGAUAUAUGCUGAUGCAACAAGGGCAUGAUUUUAUUUGUUAGCAAUACUAAUAAAAAAGUUCAUAGAAAAUAAUUUUAUACUCCCGAGGGUUAUACACAUAGUUUAAUUUGUUAAUUGUUAAAAAGUUAGCUAUACAACUAGCUAUAUAUUUGUAAAUACUAAUUAGUAGUGUAAAAAAGCAGGAACGAGCACCCGCCUAUGAUACCUUGAUUUACCAACACAAAACGUGCAUCUUGUGUGUAUGAUUGUGAAAUGCACGUUGUGUGUGGAGUUUGACAUCUAAUUUUUAACCCGCUGUUGGUCUUUCAUAUAGAGGAAUGUCUCGCUGUGCUUCCACGAGUCCCUGUAGUUCGCUACGGCUCAGAAACACAGUGUUCGGACGUCAGAUACACUAAAGUUGCACUAUGACAACCAUUGUACAAUCCAGCCCGCCUCAGUUAUAUUAAUAAAAAUAUCGAUCCGAGAACUUUAUCAUGUAUCUGGUUGCGACAGACGCAUAUACGUUCGAGAAAAAGGAGAUAAAUGGUCCUGCGAAGGUAAGGUGGCAGCUAUCGGUGUUCUAGUACACAAGACAACCGAACGCUACACACAGUACUACAAGUCAGUAAUAAAUAGAGUCUGGCGACUACUAGGCUGGCAUGACAGUGCUGUCGAGCGACUCGCCGAUGUGUAUGGCAAUGUGGAAAAUGCAUCCCAUUACUUCUCAUCUCCGCUCCUCUUUGCUCGGUUUGUCCAAGAAGCGGAACACACCACUCAUGUCGGCCUACAUGGCAUAACAUGCUCGUGGAGAAACUAUGNNNNNNNNNNNNNNNNNNNNNNNNNNNNNNNNNNNNNNNNNNNNNNNNNNNNNNNNNNNNNNNNNNNNNNNNNNNNNNNNNNNNNNNNNNNNNNNNNNNNNNNNNNNNNNNNNNNNNNNNNNNNNNNNNNNNNNNNNNNNNNNNNNNNNNNNNNNNNNNNNNNNNNNNNNNNNNNNNNNNNNNNNNNNNNNNNNNNNNNNNNNNNNNNNNNNNNNNNNNNNNNNNNNNNNNNNNNNNNNNNNNNNNNNNNNNNNNNNAAGACGAUGAAAAUUGAGUAAACACAAAAGUAAAGUAGCCGGUCUCAUUAUCAUUAGAAGACGAUGGCAACUACUGCAUGCACCCAUACAUUCUUGGAUCGCUAUAUUUGGCUUAUUCGGUCACAAACCGACGACUUUGCAGCUGCUACAUAAACAACGCUACUCUGGAUCUUAGGGAAAAAUGUUUGGAGACGGAUAUUGAUAAAGGAAACCGAGGAGAGUUGGUGAUGUGAGUCUACUCCAUCGUGCAUGCUACCUACAUGGACAAGCACAUCCGACCUGGCACAGCCUCGAGUUUCAUUAUCCCCUCUUGAUCCCUCUGAUGUUUCCUCUUUCUCUUCAUCAUCAUCUUCACAUCCCUCAAUGUGCACGUUUUUGUGCCUCGAUUUGAUUGGUUCAACUACUUGCUGGCUAUCCUCAGAGUGGUCAAUUUUUUUGGUGUUCGCGAGGAGUCACCAGUACAAGCAUGGUACUGAUAUGUCAUACAUGACCGUGGCAUUUGUACUUGUAGUUUCCUUUCAUUUUUCAUUUUCCUUUUUAAACGCAUACUGUACUUUCUUUACUACACGAUAAUUAAUAUACACUGCACAUUUUUGUAGUAUACGUCAAACAAAUUUUUUAAUUGUAUGAAAACAUAUUUUAUAUUCACACUAUUUUAAAAAAAUAUAGUGAAUAUUUCUAAAUACAUCUAUAAUUUUUUAAUACACAAUGGACAAUUUUUUCAUGUACACAUAACACUUUUUAGUAUAUGAGGAACAUUUGAAAUAUACGGCGAACAUUUUCUAUAUACCCACUAAUAUUUUUAUAAAUGCUGAACAUUUUAAAAGUACACGUUCAUUUUUGUGUUUUCACAAACCAUAGAAAACCAAGAAACUGAAGUAAAAUGAAUAAACGAAAAAAAACAGUACCGGACAGCUCCGUCGCUGCAAAAAUAGGUCUGCACGUCUUAGUGGGCCUACCCAUUCAGAGUCACCUAUGCGUAUCCUCAACUUUUUCGACAACGGGUGCCUUUUAUUUACUUAUAAUGUUGCAUCGAGGGAUACAAUCAUAACAAGCACACACCCAAACUAUGUAUAACUAGCAUACACACUGCGAACACACAUAAAAAAUCACACUGGCAAAUAACAAAGUCAAAUAAGACAAGAACUAUGGCUAGACACAUACAGAAAACGAAGGAAAGAAGAAGAAAUCCCGAGGCGACCAAAAGAGCAUACGUGAGUGAUCAUAUGUGCCAACCAUCUGAACUACUGCGUCAACUAGGAGGUCUCGCUUCUAAGGCCAUCAAUAAUAUUAACGAUGGUUCCAUAUAAAAAAAGAAUAUUAACGGUGGUAGCAGGUGCGAGAUCUUAAAUUAUCAUUUUUUAAGGCCGCUCCAUCGUUUUUGUUCUGCACAAGUGGCUCCCCUAGCCGUAACCCCACCCACUGGUUAUGUAGUUCUUUAAGAGAAAAUCGAUGACACAUGCAAGCAACAAUUUUGUAUCUUCUGUCAUUUGUUUAUACUAUGCCAUCACGAGGAGAUUGCACUUAAAAAGACAAAUUGCAUAUAGGAUAGUUAAAAAAGGGUUGUUUUCUGUCGUGGAAAGGUUGAUUCUAGUAUGAGUAUUCUCUUGGUAUCCGUUCCUUCAUGGAGAAGAGAAGGUGAUUUUCUCUCGCCGCCCCGUCAAUUGAAAUUAUACAUGUUCAAUGAUGACAUGAAGGUUAAUUUCACACCACUCAUUCAUUGUGCUUGCCUUGAGUUCCCUUCAAGGAUAUACCGUGGCAUUCCCGCCUCAAAGAGCUUUUUCAAACCCCUUUCUCAAGAUGCACAACUCAGUCAUUGUUAUCUUGUGUAGACGGGUUCAUCCAACAGGGUAUAAGAUAACACGAUGGACUGAACUGAAGAGAAAAGAAAAAAAAAAUCAUCUACUAAGCCUUAAGCAUUAAACAAGCUUGGAGUGUUGGUCAGCGUGCGACAUCAUUCAAGAAUUUUGUGGACCUACGCUGACCCAAUGAACUUGUGCCCUAUCCCUUGAAGAAAUAUCUCAUCAAUUAUGAAUAAAAAUGUUUGAAGCAUAGAAGUACUCAUGUUUUGACAACAAUACGACCCAUUGUCAUAAACUCAUAAUAUCCCCAAUUUUUACUCAUGAAAAUCAUGUUUGCAUCCCUUUUUGACUCGUUACAUUGCAAUUGUGUCCCAAUUAGAUAACAAUAACACUAAUGAUUGAGCUUGCCAUUGGUAUUCAGUUAUGUGUACACACACAUCACCUUAUGGGUAUUUCACACGAGAAGAAAAUUAGAGGCGAUUUAUUUGCAACUAACAGGCGCUUGCCGCCUCCCAUUGGCUCGCUGCUUGCCAACAAGCAUUCGAUUCCAUUCAACUGAAUUUAAGAAAAAUGGUCAGCAUGUUGGCGCUGUACUGUGUUGGGUUCGUUGAUUGCAUCCAUAUAUAUAAGCAGUCCAUUCCAUUCAACUCAAUUCAUCAACUGCAUCCAUAAUAAAUAUCAAAAAUUCCCCAUGGCACACAACGUGAUUUGCUUGCUUCUUGAUCGGAUUAUCAAACACCGGAGGGGUGUCUUCCUGUGUGAGGGUGGCCGAAACAAACUCGGCAAUUGCAGACGCUCUGAACUCGCCAUCUGCAAUACACACAGUACAUUGUUAGCCAAUUUAACAGUCAAACCAACUCGGUACAUAGAAAUGGAAAGGAGAAGCUAAAACAAGUUUACCAUAUACUGUUAACUUCGCCUCUUUUUUCUUGAGCAGGACUAGUGAUGGGCGCUUUGCUUGCGGGUCAACAUGGAAAAGCUUGGCUAUAUCAGGACUGGUAGUCUGGUAGAUGUUGACAGCCCGGUACAAGCUGUUGAAAUCUUCCAGCCUUGAGGCAGCAGCAAGCUCUUCGGUGUGAGCACCCUAUAGCAUUUGUUGAUAAGAGUAAUCAAUUUUGGGCCACAUGUGCGGUGCAAUUGCAGCAAUUCGGUUGGAUGGUAGACUUUGCUGGGAUUGGAACGUACCGAAAGGGAGUCGAGGAAAGCUAGCACGGCUACUUUGCCGCCGGUGAUGAUCUUCUCGGCCUCGUCGAUGGUGGUGACGUUCUGCACCUCAGGGCCCAGCCUCUGGGAUAUCCAAGUGACCAUGGCGUCCCUGCAGCAGUGGAAAAUUCGCCACCAUGAGGGAUGAAAUAUAAGACCGUUUAGAUCACCAAAGUAAUCUAAACCACGAACAAAAAAUAAGAACAAAAAAUUUGAAUGGAACAUUUCCUGAAAUUCACAAACAUUUCUUAAAAACAUGAAUCUUUCUAAACCACGAACAUUUUUUAAGUUGUCAACAAGAACAUGUUUUGAAGAUUCAGAAGAGUUGUAGUAAUUUUUUUCUUUAAUGCAAACAUUAUUUUCAAUUUUUGAACAUAUUGUGAAAACAACAAUAUUUUUAGAAUUUGGAAUAUUUUCAAAAUGCAUUUUUCUAAAUAUUGUUUUUUAAAUACAGUUAUUUUUUAACAAAUGGCAAUAUUUUUUAAAUUUUGAAAUACAUUUGGCAGAACUAAAAAAAUUCCAAACAUUUUUAGAAUAGGAACACAUUUAUGUAAUUCGUAUAUUUUUAUGAAUUCUUGAAUAAAAAUGAAAUUGCGAUAUUUUCCGAAAAUUUUGAAUUUCAGAAAAUACGUAGAAAAUAGACUUAGAAUGUGAAAAGUAAAAAAUAAAUACGAAACAAAAAGAGAACUAAGCAGAAAAAUAAAAAUGGAAACCGAACACAAGCAUAAAUCGGCCGCUGAGUUUUGGGCGCCUUGUGCGUACCUGAAACUAUUUACCGCCUUGUGCGGGAAAUAGGAUUUUUUGUUGCUACAUGGGCAGGAAAAAAUGGGCUGAAUUUACGGGGCCAUAGUGCGCGCGGCCCAUGUACGAAAUUUUGCACAAAUUGUUUUUCCUUUGCUAAUAGACGAACAUAGAAAGUUUAGUACCACCUCGGAAAGAAAAACAAUAAUUUUUUGGCGGUGAACGGAUAAAAAAAUCGGAGAAACGCACCUUGCUUUAUUAGUAGGUAUAUAUAGAUAUUGAUAUAGAUAUAGAUUGCUCAAGGUGAAAAGCUAAGGCUAUCCUCUUAAGAAAAAAAACGAAGUUAUCUUCCUCGAAAGAAAAACAAAACUAUGUUAUAUAUCCUCCUCUCAAUCAACAAAAUCACCUCUCCUCGAGCAAGCCAACUCUGACUGCACCAUGGGUAAACGUCAAGAUCCCUCCGAACGAUACACGAGAACCGUCUCGGCCACUGCCAAACAAUUGGCCACAAGCUUCGACAACAUAGCAGCUUGGAUUUUGCCGAUGAACUUUGCUGGGGAAAAUUGUAAGCCUCGCACCGAUCUAGUCCAGCGCAAUCUCUGGAGAGCAGCGUCCACUGAAACCAUCUUCAUGGAGUCAUCGUUUCCGCAGGCGCCCCUCCACACACAGCUUCAUCUUCUUUGUUACAACAAGAAACAAGCAUAGGCACACCCAUUGGCACACCCGACUGUCAAAUUCAGAAGGGCCAACCACGACCUAGCUCCGCUCGCCACCAUUGUCGUCGCCACGAGUGCCAACACCAACUACUCGCAUCAUCAGCUGUGCACCAUCCAACCGUGAGAAUGUGCAUAUCCAACCCAGGAAAAGUGUGGAGGGGAACAAAUCUUCAAGACGGCGCCCUAAGUGGGGAGCGAUGCAGAAAUAACAAUGUUGUCCGACCCUGCAACAGGGACCUUAGGCUUUUACUGAAGACAUCCCAAGGGUGACCAAGAUGGAAGAGCUGCACGGCGACCCUCCAAGAAGGAAUAACGACACUAGCAACCGCCACAUCAUCAUUGAUGGCAUAAUCCAGGCAAGCCUUUGCCCCGGAGGAACAAACGUGCACAUACACCCCCACUAGACAAAAUACUGCCUUACCUAUAGACAAAUCAGUUCUUUUUUGGGCGAGAUAAGCCCAAAGUAAUCUGUGCAAAUAUUCUCUGUAAAUUCAAAAUCUAUGUGUAUUAUAUGUAGUUAAUCAACAUUUUACCGCCCAAAUUAGAAUCCUAGCCACUUUAUACCUCGAACUUUCAUUAAAUGUGUCUAGACUUACGUAUUGAGUGCACCAUGCAUGCUGCCAAGCCAACCCGCGUUGAAUCGCGCCAUAAAUUUCCUUAAGUUUAAAUUUCCGCUAGGAUUUACCUUGUAAAUAAGUUUCCACCGUUCUUACUAGCACAAAUUUAAAGCUUUGGGGUAAAUCCUUUCUGCAUAAUCCCUGUAAAAAAUGAUAAAAGUAAAGGUACAAAGUAGAAAUUUUAAUAUAUAUCAUCACACAAUCAUAGUACAACCAGCACACACAUACAAUUAUCAUCCAUACAAGCCAGAAAAGUAAGUCAGAACAAUCACAAGAUUUACAUGGGCAUCAUACCCUAAUCUUGAUUGAUCUUGACAUUAUAUAGCACAGAAUGACUUGAUGGUGGUGGGUUACAACACACCACUUAUUUAAUCCAGCAGGCAAUAUAAGUCACGAGUAUACUAUAUCUGGCGCGGUUGAUGUACUCGAACAUCUCAUCCCAGCGGCUCCUCUUGGAUGUGUGCUUCCACAUUUUCCUUUUCCGCUUGUGUCCCAAGUGGUGGUUUUGGUUGUGCAUUCGGGUCCGGCAGUCCAGGCAGUGGUUGUGGGUUUGGGUCUGGUAAUGGUUGUGGGUUUGGAUCAGGCUGCGGUCCUGGUAAUGGCUGAGGGUUUGGGUUUGGUUGUGGGUCCGGCAAUGGUUUUGGGUUUGGGUCUGGUAAUGGUUGUGGGUUUGGAUCAGGCUGAGGUCCUGGUAAUGGUUGAGGGUUUGGGUUUGGCUGUGGGUUNNNNNNNNNNNNNNNNNNNNNNNNNNNNNNNNNNNNNNNNNNNNNNNNNNNNNNNNNNNNNNNNNNNNNNNNNNNNNNNNNNNNNNNNNNNNNNNNNNNNNNNNNNNNNNNNNNNNNNNNNNNNNNNNNNNNNNNNNNNNNNNNNNNNNNNNNNNNNNNNNNNNNNNNNNNNNNNNNNNNNNNNNNNNNNNNNNNNNNNNNNNNNNNNNNNNNNNNNNNNNNNNNNNNNNNNNNNNNNNNNNNNNNNNNNNNNNNNNNNNNNNNNNNNNNNNNNNNNNNNNNNNNNNNNNNNNNNNNNNNNNNNNNNNNNNNNNNNNNNNNNNNNNNNNNNNNNNNNNNNNNNNNNNNNNNNNNNNNNNNNGGCAAUGGUUUCGGGUUUGGGUCUGGAAAUGGUUGUGGGUUUGGAUCAGGCUGCGGUCCUGGUAAUGGCUGAGGGUUUGGGUUUGGUUGUGGGUCCGGCAAUGGUUUUGUGUUUGGGUCUGGUAAUGGUUGUGGAUUUGGAUCAGGCUGCGGUCCUGGUAAUGGACGAGGGUUUGGGUUUGGCCGUGGGUCUGGUAGUAGCUGCGGGUUUGGGUUUGGCCAUGGGUUCAUCAACCGUUGCAGGUUUUGGCCUGGCAAUGGUUGUGGAUUUGGGUCAGGGUGUGGUCCUGGUAAUGGUUGAGCAUUUGGAUCAGGUUGUGGCUCAGGCAGUGGUUGUGGGUUUGGAUUAGGUUUAGGAUCGGGUAGUGGUUGCGGGUUUGGGUCUGGUCGUGGUCCUGGCAGUGGUUGUGG
This 47533-nucleotide long non-coding RNA is filed under the name Triticum aestivum (bread wheat). RNAcentral describes it as "long non-coding RNA (TAES_LNC009528)". Lineage: Eukaryota; Viridiplantae; Streptophyta; Magnoliopsida; Poales; Poaceae. The record is from RNAcentral.